GCAGGCCACUGCCUACGAUCCUAGCCCUCUUCAAGACUUCUGCAUCGCCGACAUGAAGGCGCCUGGUAUGCACUACGUAUAGUGUGCACGUAUAGAUGUGUGCCCUUAAUUCUAGUGGUGGUAUAGUUAAUGUUGUGAUAGCCUAGUAUUGAUCACACACUGAAGUUUACUACAUACUGAUAACAGUUUUUCUUUUGCGGGGUACAUACUGAUCAUAGUUCUAAAAGUAUUAUUACUGCAUGCUCAAGCCACCCACACAUUUCUUACUUGCUUUAUGUUACUUUCUCUAUGCAUGCAGUGCGAGUCAAUGGAUUUGCUUGCAAGGACCCAAUGGCCGCAACCCCGGAAGACUUCUUCAACGCAGCCAUGCUCGAUCAGCCUAGGGAUACCAAGGCCAGCAAGGUCAGGUCCAACGUCACCAACAUCAAUGUCAUCAAUUUUCCUGGCCUCAACACCCUCGGCAUCUCCCUGGCACGCAUCGACUAUGGGCCAUUAGGUGUCAACACGCCGCACAUACACCCCCGUGCCACCGAGCUCCUCACGGUGCUUGAGGGGACACUCUACCUUGGAUUUGUCACAUCCAACCCAAACAGGCUCUUCUCCAAGAUAGUUAAGAAGGGUGAUGUAUUCGUAUUCCCAAAAGCAAUGAUUCACUUCCAAAUGAACCUGGCGCAUGACAAGCCAGCAGCCGCCUUGUCCUCGCUCAGCAGCCAAAACCCUGGGGUUAUUUCUAUCGCCAAUGCAGUCUUUGGAUCAAAGCCACCAAUUUCAGAUGAUGUUCUAGCCACGGCGUUUCAGGUGGAGAAGGAUCUGAUUCACUGGCUUCAAUCUCAGUUCUGGGAGAAUAACAACUACUAGAUACUCUCUUUCAUCUGGGCAUAUGGAAAGUUCAUAUGUAAUGCUAGUAUAUAGAAUAAAUGGCAUGUAGUAAUACGUAUGCAUGCAUGGUUGUGAGCUGUGAAUUUUCAUUUUCCUUUUGAAGCGUGACAUGAUAUGUUUCUUGUCGGAUUCAUGUCAGAAUGUGUUGGUGAUGAUUGUUUUCACUGUUUAAUGAAUGGAAUACAGAGGUGCUCCUUUGCCUUGUUGCUGAUAUAGAGAGAUCCGUGAUGUUAAUGACAAAGCAGCAAUGAUUGGACAUGCAUGUUAUUUCUAGACCCAGUUUACAUGUACUUAAAACUUGUUUUUGCCCGACAAGGUGAUUUGUUCACUGGAAACCAGGAAACGCAAACUUGUUCUGUGGCGAGAAAUCAUUUAGCAUGCUGGAAACUUAGAUGCCAUCGUUUAGCGGAUUAAGCAUCAUAGAUGGAAGAGCAGGGAUAUAGUUGUUAUGAUGUAGUUGCUCGCUAUCAAGUAUCUGCAUUCCCAAUAAUGGUUACAAGUAAACAAAAAAGAUGGGGCACAUGAUCGUAUUGGUUUCGCACCAAGAUUGGGCUAUACACCUAUUUAUAAUAUGGAGCGUCAUGGCAUGUGGAUUAUUAGUCCAGAUCUAUCUACAGAAUGGGUUUGGAUUAUUAGUCCAGACCUAUCUACAGCCUACAGGGCAACUCAAUUGGCAGUCUAUUCAGAAUCAUAUUCUUUCAAAGUUGUAAAUGCAUGCGCAGACACAAACUCUUGAUGGACAGAAGUUGCGGCAAUCUACGCGGGUUGUGUGGAUCUAUUAGUGGAGAUAUGGAGCGUUCAUUUUAAGCAUUGUGUGGAUCUAAUUGUGGAGAUACAGAGCGUUUUACAUGAAGCAAACUGUGCCGCUCAUGAGAUUGCUAGAUACAAUGGUUGUUUUUUUAGAAAUGCUAGAUAUAGUUUUGAAAGUAAGCUCUCUUGUAAGUGGGUCGAUGAAACCCCAUAUUUUAUCCUUAAUUCUCUUGUAAACAAUGUACGUGUUAUUUGAAAUCAAUAAAGUAAGCCAUGAUGGCGUCCGCUAUAGUUAGUCUUUUCAGAAGACCCUCUGAGAAGCCUCUUUAUAUAGGUGGCAAGGGGCCCCAUUAUACACAAAAAAUAUCAUUGAUCAAUAAAGUUGAGGAGUCUUCAGCUACAUUUUUGUGCUUCUUUUGUGCUUAUAUUUGGCGUAGUAACAUGAUCAUUACAUUAAAUUAUCGGUAUUACAGUACUUGGUAGUCACGUACACUCCCACACACUUGAUUGGAUUUUAUUUGGGAAUAAUCGCUUUGGUUUUUAUCUUGAUCUAUUGACACCGUUAUCAAAACAAUUGUUAUUGAUGAUCCUAAGAAAUAAAAACAAAGCAACAUGCAUUGAAGGGGUUAUUUCCACACAUGAGUUCACGUGACAAUAAUCUUUGAAUUAAUAAAUACGACAUACUUUGUACUGGGAAAGCAUUGUCGGUCCGUCAUCAAGAAUUGACCAUACUACUUAGUUCAGUCACGAAAGAGACCCGUAAUAAGUUAAUAAUAAUUGAGGAAAUCCAUUUCAUGCACCAACGCAAGUACGUGGAUCAAACACGUCUCCAUCAUUUGACCCGUCGCCAUUUUUUCUGUUAGUGGUUACUUGCACGCAAAUAAAUGCAGUUGUAGACUUGUAGUGUCGUACCGACAUCUGUUAGGUGGAUGCCAAACCAUAUUUAUAUGUUCUGAUGAGAAAAUUCUUACAACACAUACAUGUAGAGGAGAUGGUACAACCGUACAAACAUGCCAAAUUUCAGGGUCAAAACCUUAUGUUGAUCUCGUAAUCCGAGGUCAACACGCCAACACAUGAGUUGAUAGCUUCUUGCCCUGUGAGAGGUUGAUCCAAUCCAACAUGGAUAACGGAUUAUGCGGCACACGAUGAGGAAUUGAAAAUGAAAUGUUGACGACUGUUUAGUGUGUGGACAUUCAUAGUUCAUGUCAUCAUUUUUUUUAUUUUGCAGGGAAAAACUGAUUGCAUUAAGUAAACAUAGUACUCCCUUCCUACCAUCAUCUUAUAUUGUGCAACACAAUCAAGGUGGAGAGGAAAACGAGAGAAGAUAAUGUUCAUUUUGUUAAUCAAUAUUAUUACAUGCAAUGAACUCAUUACUGCAAGCCGUGUUAGGUAGUCUAAAGUCAUUAAACAUAUACAUGUUCCAUGUCUCUAAGUGGAAAUUAAUGCACCACGCUUAAGUGUUUUCGAAUUAUUUGGUUAUGCGGCACACGAUGCAGGAUUGAAAAUGAAAUGUUGACGAUAGCUUAGUGUGUGGACAUUCAUAGUUCACGCCAUCAUUUUUUUUGCGUGGAAAAACUGGUUGCAUUAAUUAAACACAGUAUUACAAUCAUUCUUUAUAACGCUAACCUUCCUAGUUUUGAAUAGUCCACAUUCAAUUCAGGUCUUCAAUUAGAAUUGGAUCACCUGAUUUUGACUAAGUCAAUAAUUUCUUAAAGCUCUUCCGUUCAAUUCUUUUAUACUAUACAAUGUGUUUCCUAAUUUUUAAAGUUGCACAAUUAAUUCAGGUAUUCAAUUUAGAAUUGGGCCAUCCGGUUUAGACCAGGUCAACAAUUUCUCAGGCUCUCUCAUUCAAUUCUUUUAGCUCACUAUCUUCCCUAAUUCUCUCAAGUUCAGAGCAUAUAUAUCAACAUCCCAAUGCUAAACAAAAAAGGUAUAGAAAUUCAUUUCACGAUGAAUCUAAAAAUAUUGAUUUGAUAUAUUUCUCUAUAAAUUUGAUCAAACAUAAAAGGGUUACAUAUUUGAAAAAGCAAUAGACCUUGUAUUUGGAAACAAAGUGAUUGUUUGUUAAAGAAAUUCGACAACACACCAACGGUGUAGCAAAGCGUGCCAAACCCUUCUAGUCUUGGAUGAAAUCACAAACUUUCGAAGGAAAAUUCCCUAGCCAACCAGUGGUGCGCUGCUUAUCCUAUUUGGCUCACCGUGUCCUAGGCAGUGCAAGGAGAGGUGAAACCGUGAAAGAGGUGUUACAUGUUACCCAAACAACUUUGAAGCUAAAUAUCUCGGGCUCUCGGUGCCGGAUGAGAGAGGAAUAAAUGAAAGUUCAAAAGCUUACACGAGAGACUAGCAAAGCGCCUGCUUCAAUGCAGGUGAAAUUUACCUUUCUCGAGAUGGGAAGGAGAUCAUGUUAAAGGCCGUCGUUGUGCAGGCACUACGAGUGUACGUGAUGGGUGUUUUCAAACUCCUAAUCGGGCUUUGUCAUGACCAAACAAAGAUGAUGACACACUAAUGGUGAUGUGCGGACAAUGAAAAAUGGCGGUCUCAUGGGAUCUCUUGUGACAUUAUGCACGGGUCAAAGGUGAUGGGAGGAGUGGGGUUCAAGAGUCAGCGGCUCCUUAAUCAAGCAUUGAAAACGGGGCUAGCAUACGGGCAUGGCAUGACCCCUGGAUCCCUUGCGGUGCAUCAUACAGAUCGAUUACCACACAACAUAAUUUUCAUCUGUGUUGGGUCAUGGAUUUCCAGAUGGUUGAUGAUUCAUGCAUGCCUUCAUGGAAUACUCAACUCAUAUAGUAACACUUCUUCAUUGUGGAUGUUGCAAAGAUUUUGAAUAUCAAACCAUUGAGGCGCCUUGAGGAAGACUUCAGGCCGAGUGAUUGCAGCCAUCAUGGGAGGGCAUCAUUCGGUGCUUCAAGUACAUCGGUGUGGUCGUGACAAGCGCCAUCCUGGGGUAAAUCACAAGUUCUACAAUGGCGGCUUCCCUCUCAUCUGAAGCACGCUUCUUUGGAGUGCUACUUGGGCCUCAACCUCAACCCCAUGUACAAGCACAGCGACGUAGGAUAUAGGAUACCUAAACGUUCAUUUUUUUUGAAACUGGCGGAACACCAUAUUCGUAGAUCAUCGAUUUAAUGACUUCAGCUCGAGGUUUUGAAUCAACUAUCGGAGCCGAUUUCAUCUCUUGAGUACAGUAUACUUUUGAAACAACCUUCUCACUUGUCAAUUACUCGUGUGGAGAUUUGGCGAGUUUCCGUUGUGAGGCCUUGGAGACCCUUCGAGCAUGACCAUAUGCAUGUGCCAUCGACGGUUACUGCUUACAGUUACAGGUGACGAUAUCAUGGUCGCAUCAACGGUAAUGAUAUGAGGUUGUCGUCGUCUCAAAUGUCCUAAAUUGUUUGGUAUAUUCUUGUCUUCUUAGCUGUUCUAUAGUCUCUUGCAUCCUUGGCGCUUUUAUUUUUCAGUUUUUUUAUUUUUAGUUUUGUAUUAAUGGAUGUAAUGUUUGGUUGUGGCUUUAUAUAUAAAGCCUUUAAUAAAAUAGCUUACAUGCGCCUCAGAAACAGGAAGCGAGCUAAGAAAAAGAAAUAGGACACGUUUGCUUACCCGCCUCAUCGAGGCCCGCACAGGAAGAAAAAGGAUCGUUUGGUUACCCUCAUUGACUGUUUGGCCUGCACAGUACGAACAUUAAAGCACCUUUGUUGAGUCAGGCCCAAGCGAUGCAACCCUAGGCACGUGGGCGUGGGCGGUUGCACGCAUGGAUGCAGCCUCGAGACGUCGCGUUAUUUCCCCAAUCGACGUCAUAAAUUACCCUCACCUCCCUUCGGGGGGGGGGCCCUCUUCCCCACUCACAUCAGCGAUGGCGAUCACCGGAGCGACAACACGAGGAUCUACGAUAGCAGCGACCAUCGCAGCGACUUCAGACCUCCGCCACAGCGCAUCGGCCAUGGCGGUAAGUCCUUUUCCCUAUCUACAUUGGCCAUGACUCGGGCUAGAUCUAUUUUGAGCACGGGAUUGGAGAAUUAGGGAGGGGAUUGAACACAUGGAGAUUGGGGAAUUGGAUUCAACACCGCCCUCAUCUUCAGUUCUUGGCUAAUCGAUCGAUUACAUCGGGGGUGGAGAUUGGGGUACUACCUAAUUUUCUAGCCACGAUGACCCUGGAGUCGCGUCGAGCGGUGGUGGGCGUAGGCUUCUUCUUUUCUUCGUCACCAUCGCAUUAUUCCUGACCGUCACAUCAAGAACGAUGGGUCUUGCACGGUCGCCUUCCGUCGACGCCUUGACCAUCAUUUGCACCUCGUUUUCUUCCACUGCUUGCGCCCUCGCCACCAUCUGCACAUCGCCGUCUUCCUCUGCUGGAUCCACCAAAGUCCUUGUCUUCCAGUACACCACAACACGGUGGUCAUCGGGACUAUCAUGAGGAAUAACUACGGGCACUACCAUGAGGAGGAUGGACCAAACCACUUCUGCAAGGUGAUAUUUGCUCUGAAGCUGGAGGCUCUGUCUUUGCAUCUCGACUUCAUGAAGCACUUCCCCGCUAUGUUUAGUCCUAAGACGAACACCAGCUGCUCAUGGAGUGUCACGGUGAAGGUGGUCGACAACGGGGUCACCCUUGAUCAGGGUUGCUCCACCUUCACCAGUGUUCACCACGUCGGGAUCGGGUACAAGCUGACUUUCAAGCUGCUCACCCCUAACACCAUGAAGGUGAUGCAGCGUGGACGUGGUCACCAAGUGCAAGAAACAUGACGAGGCCUUCACCGUGACCGCGUAAAUGACCUCUUGUUCCUAGUUCCGUGUUGUGGGUUGUUCUUUUAAGAGUACUAUGUGUUACGAUGUCGUUUAGAACUUAUCAUACUAUGUUUAAAAUUUUUGUUUGGUUAAACUUUGAUUUGUGCUUAAGUUUGUUUCGGUUGCUUUAUUUUUUUGCAUCUGAUAACCUCACCACAUUGAGGAGGAGGUUAGCACACUAUUGUACUAGAUGUAACCAAACAAUUCAACAUGUGUUUGACCUCAAACCAAGCCACAACCAAACAACAUGCCUUCUGUUUCGACAUAUGCAGGCUACACGGAAUGCAUGCAACCAAUCAACAUGCAGAUGUUGAUUUUUUUGCAUGCAUAUGCUCGACCAGGCCCAACUGGGGCAAGUAUGCAAAUGGCAAAAAAACGAUGCACGUAACCAAACGCGCCCAAAGUGAUCUCUCAAUCACAUCUUGUUUAUUUCAGAUCAAAACUGUCUCUUUCCAUUAGAUGAAGUGCUAUAUAUAGCAUUGGAGCAAGCGUUUACAAGGGGGCGCCAUUUCAGACAGAACCGACGCAAUGGUUGCGUAAAGCAUGUGCCAAUGAUUAUAACAAGUAGGGGUUAAUCCCUUAAUUGCUAUAUUAAUUAAUCUUAGCACUCCCCCUAAUCCAUGCUUGUCCAGGUAGCAUCAUCAUCUCGAAAGAGUCUCCUUUAAAAACCCUAUGGAAAAAAUAUGAGGAGUAUAUUAUUUGAUAAGUUGCCAACACUCCUUCAAACCCAGUGGAAAAAAUAAGGAGAAAAUGAUGCAACAUGUCAUCAUUAUUGUCUCUUUUAACUCAAUAUGAGAAAAUUGUAGAAUUUUGAGGAAAAUAAAUAUGGCGUAUAUACUUUAUUAAAACCCGAGUGGGGAAAACACAAAAUAUGACAUCUGGUCUUGUGUUGAUAUUACCUCAUUAAAAACCUUUACGAGAACCUAUAUAGUAAACUCAUGAAGGGAAAAAGAGUAUAAUAUGAUGCAUUGAACAGGAACAAUUCAGGAAGAUACUCCCCCUGAUUCUUGCAAACUUCGAAGCCGUGACAUACCAAUUCCAUGAACAUAUUUCUGGAAUGUAAAAAUUGGUAGAGACUUCGUGAGAAAAUCAGUCACAUGAUGUAAUUUACAAGAUAUGCAAGCGAUAUUGCUUACGUAACCUGUUUGCAUCCGGGCAACACAAGAAAUAUUAUAUUUGAGAUAAUAGUUAGUGGAUGUAGCCAUUAAGGUCGGUUGCAAAAAAUGUUAUGCAAUGACUAUCACACCUAGUAGGAACACUAAGCUUGCCUAUGAUAUGACAUAGUAGGGAUCUGAUCAAUGUAUCCAAUGGUAUUGGUGUUCAGAUUUAUCUGAAACUGAAAAACCAGGACAAGAUGUUUGAUACCUUUGGAGAUAUCAAUAGAUAUUCUUGAGUCCCAACAAAUUGUGUUUGGUGGAUCCAAUGGCAUUAUGAAACGUUGAGUCCCAAUAUCUGAUUUUCAUCAUCUCUUGGUUUAAAUAGAUCAUUCUCUGCGUCUAGAGAAUGAAUUACCAUGAGAGUUAUGGAUGGAUAAGAUUUGUCCACAAUGAAUUUCUCCAAUAUAUUUUGGAUAUAGACAACAUAGUAUACCAUAACGUAUGAAUGAAGGUGCUCAAGUUAUAGUAACGAGCGGUAUUUUGGUUUACCCAAAUCCUUAAUUUUAAUCUCCGUCAUUUAGAUGAUUACAUGUGUCGUCAGUACAAAGACACAAACAUGGAUAAUCAUCAUUGUAGGAGUAAUCCUUGUGUAUAAGGAACUCAUUACAUUAGUUGUACCGACAACAAUAAGUAGUAUGGUGACUUACUGAAUUUUACACAAUGUAUGUUACAUUUUGUACUUCAAUAGAAUUGAGAUUACAUCGGAAAUAUAUCAUAUAUGUCUGAAUCUAGUGAGCCACAUGGAUAUGUGAUCACUACAUCUAUCAACCGCAUAGAUAAAUGAUCUUAUAUUCUCAAUGAUACAAGUUGUCGGAAAGAAGUUCCACCUCUAGAGAAUAGUUGGGUAUCUGCAUGAACCCUUAUGCUACAAUACUUGCUCUAUGUUUCACAACCUUGUUGUUCUCAAUUCUGUUUCCAGAAGAAAACUGGUGUAGGUAUUGCUUAUGAAUACCUUCCCUUUAUUGAGCAAGAUUAUUUCUACCUAGAUUAUACCAUUUUCUUGAGUUCAGUUUGAGUGUUGUUCACACUUUGCCAUGCCCAUAGUCUUGGAUCUGAAUCAUUUGAAAGGUUUUUGAAAUCUAGUUGAGAAAUGUAUAUCGACAAUUGUAGACUUCUGGUUAUAUGUUUCUCUAGAAUCUAUAUAUCAAUAUAUAGUUGAUGGAAAUAUCGUUACCCAUGGUGACUGCUCGCGAUUUCCCGGUGCGAAUGAGUCGUGUAUUCCGAUGUCCCAGUCAUUAUGUGCAGUAUGACCUGGGUUAGUGGAGGUUUCCCAUCCACUUGGUAUACUACUCAUACGUAUCCAACGUAUCUACAAUUUUUUGAUUCUUCCAUGCUGAUAUAUUAUCAUUCUAGAAUACUUUUGGGGUAUUUAUUUACCAAUUUAUAUUAUUUUUGAGCACUAACCUAUUGAUCCAGCGACUACUGCCAGUUGCUAUUUUAUGCGUGUUUUUCACUUUUCAGGUUUUCCAUAGCAAACGAAGUCCAAUUGCCCUGAAAAUUUUUGGUGAUUUUUUCUGGACCAAAAGAAGACCAACGAGCAUCGGAAGAAGGUUGGAGGCCUCACAAGGGGCCCACAAACCAACAGGGCGCGUCAUGGGGGCGCGCCCUGAUGGCUUGUGCCUCCCUCAUGGCCCUCCCGACUCCGUUGUUUGGCUUAUAAAUUCUCAUAUACCCUAAAAACAUCAGAGGGAGUUCCGAAACACUUUCUACACCAUCGCAAGUCUCUGUUCCGAUGGGAGGCCAUCUGGAGUUCCAUUCCGACACCCUGCUAGAGGGGGAUUGAUCAUAGAGGGCCUCUUCAUCAACCUUUCUACCCUCAUGAUGAUAUGUGAGUAGUUCACCACACACCUACGGGUCCAUAGCCAGUACCUAGAUGGCAAUCUCUCUUUGUCUCUCUUUUAUCUUCAUUACAAUGACCAUCGCAACUUCGCUUUGAUCCAUAUAUAUGAUGUAAUUCCUUUCGUGCGAUGCAUUUGUUGGGGUCUGAUGAAUUGUGGGUUUACGUUCAAAUUAUUCGUGAUAAAUAUUUGAGUCUCCUCUGAAUACUUGUAUGAUUCUAAUGUGAAUGAUUAUGAUAGGUUCAUAAUUCUCUCCGAUCUAUUGAAAUAGUUUGGCCAACUAGAUCGAUAUUUCUUCGGUGAGAGAGGUGCCUUGUGGUAGGUUCAACCUCGCGAAUUUCUAUAUCCCAGUGACAUAAGGGGACAAGAUGCAUCUUUGUAUUGCCGCUACGAAGGAUAAAACGAUGGGGAUUAUUCAUAUUGCUUGAGUUUACUUUGUCUACAACAUGUCAUUUUCUCCAUGCAUUACUCUGUUUUACUUAAUACUCUAGAUGCAUGCUGGAUAUCGGUCGAUGAGUGGAGUAAUAGUAAUAGUUGCAGGGAGGAGUCGGCCUAUUUUUUAUGGACGUGAUGCAUAUAUACACAUGAUCAUUGCCGUGAAUAUUGCAUAACUAUCCGCUUUUCUGUUAGUUGCCCAACAGUAAUUUGUGUACCCAUCGUAUGCUAUUUUUCAUGAGAGAUGCCAUUAGGGGAAAGCUAUAUCUCCCGGGUCUAUUCAUAACUUAUUGAUAAAACCUUCAUUACCUUGCUUCCAUUUCAUUGUUUUAUGUUAUCUUGCUAUCUACAAUUGUCUACACACCUCACUUGCUUGCAAAUAACAAGACAAGAGGAUUGACAACCGAGUUGCCCGCGUUGGGUGCAAGUUAUUUGUUCUUUUGUGUGCAGCCGCUGAAGACGGUUGUGGUUGAUAUUCCUAUUGGUUCGAUAAACCUUGGUUUCAUAACUUAGGGAAAUACUUACCCACAUUGUGUUGUGAUAACCCGUUCCUCUUCACGAAAAACCCAACGUAGAUCACAAGUAUCAUGAAGGAUUUAUGGCGUCAUUGUCGGGGAAUAUCAUCACCAACUACCAAGUAACUCCACACAAAAUUUCAUUCACUUGUUUCCAUCUUUUUUUUGCUGUUCUAUUUAAUUUGUCUCAUAAAAAAAUANAUACAAAAAUAUUUACAUUUUCUUGUUUUGCUUCUCACUAGAUUGCAUCUUCGCUCUCUAGUUUUCUUGAAAGUUGUUAUCAUGUCUCAGUUUGAAAUUAGUGAUGCCUCCGCCUCUAGUGUGGGAACCCUUGAUUUGCCAACUUUAACUUACGAUGAGAAUGCUAAAGUAAAUUUUGAUGAAGUUUCUAAUGAAAAACUUGAUAAUCUUGCGAAUCAUGAUCCUCCUAAGGUAGAACCUAUUAUGCAAACUAAGAAACUCCGCAUAGGUGGUGGUAAUAUUAUUGGAAAGUGUGUUAUUCAAGAUUUUUUUCACUUGUGCAGGAUCAUUCCCUUUUAUAGGAGGUUUUGUUGUUGCUAGAACUACAAGUUAUGUGAAUGUCAUAUAUUUUCUUAUAGUACAAUCGGAGAGACAAUUUGUGCAUAUGCAUCCUUUUAUACAAUGGUUGUUCCUAGAAUUCUCUAAUAUCCAUGAAGCUAGCACUAAACAUCUAGCUACUUGUCACAUCCCUGGAUCCCUAACUAGGGUUUAGUAUUUGUGCUCAUGUUUUCUUCCAUUGCAUUCAAGAAAUUGAAACAAACUCCAAGAAGUGCUGAAACUCAAACCAAAAACCCUAGCCACUUCUAAUUCAAGGAAAAUUCAAAUCUUGUCAAAAUCAAUGAACCCAAAAUGGCCUUCUUUAAAGUUCAAUAUUUCUGAUAAAUAUUGAAAACAAGUUAUCAGGGGAGAAAACUAUUUUUAAGACAUCCUUGGCAUUUUAAAUUUAAUUCAGAAAGCCCCUGAAUUCAAACUUAAAUUUGAAUUCAAAUAUUUACAAGUUUCAAAACUGUUGCAAACCUCACGAGUAGUUGGCAAUAUUCCAACUAUCACUCCGGGCUAUUCAAAAUAAUUUUUGAACUAAUUUUGGAGCCAAUAUAAAUGGCAAAUCAAAUCAGCAACAAAACAGAAAACAAAAAUAGAAAAAAAUGGGAAAAACUUACCUGUCGCUCACCUGAGGAAGCCCAGCCCACAGGGGCAGGUUCGUCUUCUUCCUUCUGCCUUCUGGCAGAGGAGUGAACGCCCACGGUGACUCCUCCACCUCCUGCUUGCCGUGGCGCGCUCCGGUGCCCCCAGGACAGCGCGAUGGCGGGAAUGAGACCCCCGCACGCGUCCUUAUCUUCUCCCGUUCCCCAUUCCGCCCCCUCCUCUCGGCUUUCUUCCUUUCUUCUUGUGCCGCCAUGGACAGAGCUCAAGCUCGAGCUGCCCGAGCCCUCUAGCCACAGGAUACUUCCUCCGAGUGCUCCAUUUUCUCCGCCUCGUCGAGCUAGCCAUGUACGCCGAAGCAUUCGACCUCCCCAAGCUCUGGUGCGCCACAUCGCCGUCGUCUUCAACCUCCGGCCGUCGGCAAGCUUCUGUUGAUUCGACGUCCACAGCACCUCCCCGAGCCGUCUGAGCUUCCCAUCGCCUCCACCGUGAGCUUGCGCGUGUUUCCCCUCUUCUUCCCCCCAUUUUCCUGCAUGCUAGCCACUAGACCGACGAGCCCGAGCUCCGGCUGCUGCCUCAGCUCGUCGCUGGUGACCUCCGGUCAAUCCCAGUCCUUCCUGAAACCCAUAAUGGAUGAGGUCGAGCCUCGGGAUCCUCCCAGUGCUCUCGGCACUCGAUCCUGAGCACCACAUGCACCACAGUAAGUAAAGGUUGUGUGUUGAACCUGAUUUGGUAAAGGUACCGGUGAAAGGCUAUGUAGGAGUACAUGGCGGGUUGUUUCAUUGGAACCGUCCUUAGGAACUGAGUUCCGUGUAUGUAAUCCAAGACUAUAUACUACAACACGUUGGGAUACUUAAUUGACACUCACGACUUAUUAAUCGCUUAGUACUCGGUCCAGGAGUUGCAAGUAGUUUCUGGUGUUUAUAGUCAUGCUGGAGGCCGUGCGUAGCGCUGACCUUAGAAGUGGGAUAUGAUGCGGUAGGCAGUGGCACGGUGUACCAAGGGGCACCCGGAUGGUGGGCUUGGGAACCCUGCGCACAUCGUUUGGGGCCGUGGCGGAAACCUCGGCCGGACUUCCGUGCGGGUUACCCUCAGAUAGGCGAUAGACCUGGACUAAGUAUUAGCGUGGUUAACGGUCGUGGCCGACUCUCUCACUGGGCUUCCGCUUGGAGGUUGCCGAGGUGCAUGUCGUGCACAUGGCGAUAAGUGGCGAGAGCAUGUGUGAAGAAGUACACCCCUGCAGGGUUAUGAUCUAUUCGAAUAGCCGCGUCCACGGAUAUGGACUACUUGGAAGCAUAUGUUGUUCAUAGAUAACUUUAAUGGCUACUCAUAAAAUUGUCAAGAUAAGUGUGAGUGUCGUGGACGGCAUUUCCGUAUGGAGACGGAAUGAUUCCACGAUGGAGUAUUGUUGUGGUGUUAGUGGACUCAUGUGCGAGAAAUCAAGUUGUCAAAAUUAUUUAAAAAUGCAAGUUGUCUAGCCACGAGUCAAAUGUUGGCUUUCCGCAUGAAACCCCACAAUUCCUUAUUGAUACAUUGCAUGAGUAGAUAGCUUAUCCUAAAGUCUUGCUGAGUACUUUUGUACUCAUGUUUGCUUAAUAAUUGUUGCAGAGGUUGUUAAUGACCCUAAUGGAGGGUUCUACCUAGACAUCGACGAUGACGAGUAGCUGGGAUCUGGCCCUAGGGUGGGUCUGUAGAUAGUCAGGCCAUGUGCCUUUAUCUUUCCCUCUGUCUGUACUCAGACAGCUUUAAAUCUUCCGCUGGCUAGUAAGAUUGUGUGUAUGACUUGUGAUGAUGGGUCGUGAGACCCCUACUUUGUAAUAUUAUGUGUGUGGAUCUUCCGAGCCUUCUAAAUAAAGUUUGUAUGUUUAUGGUUAUGUUGUGAUGCCAUCGAUGUAUCUAUACAUAUCGGUAGGCCAUGCGUACGUGUGUUGUACUUGAUAUGUAUGGGGUUCGAUUACCUAGUCGUAGGCUUUAGUAGCAUUCCUUACAGGGAAAUGCCCCUUUGUGAUCCAACGAGCCAUGGUAGUUCGCUACUGCUCCGGACACAUUGGUUGACCAGCAUGUGUCCUUCUUAGCUAUUGUGUCUGUCCCCGUUGGGGAAAUUUUACCCGAUGUAAUGGAGUCCUUGUAGCUUGCUUCGACUUGUCUACAUUCGCUGGUGACCGACACCUGCUUUGCUGGGUCAUGUAUGCAUGUCCCUGUGUGGAACUGCCGCUUUGGUUUAUGACUAGACAUGUCGAUCCGGGUUCUUUGUCAUUGGAUUGCUAGCGACACAAUUGCAUACGCGAGUCAAAAGUCGCAAACGGUCCCGGCUAAGGUAAGGCUGCAACCGUGGGGAUAACCGUGUGUGAGACCGCAAAGAGAUGCGAUGUGUUACAGUCUGGAUUCCUAUGGCUUAGGAUCGGGGUCCCGACACUACUAUAUUCCUUUUCUAAAGAAUUUAGUAAUAUCAUACAAGAAGCUAGAGAUAUAUUUUCUCAUUUUAGGUUUGAUGGUGAUUUCCCACCCAUAGAGGGGAUUCUUUAUGAAUUGGAAGAAAUAAGAAAACUAAGAUCCAUAGACUAUCUUGCUUAUGAUGAGAACCUUAGAAAGAAGGUACCGCUUAAUGUCUUAGUUGAUAAUAUUUCUAAACACAAUGAUUAAUUUGCUAUAUCAAAACUUGGAUUGGAUUAUGAUCUUCAAACAAAAUUAAGGAAAUACCUCCAUAGGAAUUUAUACAAUGAGGAACUAACUAUCACUUAUGAAAAACCCAAGGGAGAGCCUCAUGUCCCCCCCCCCCAAAGUAGACCUUUCGGAUCCUAAUGUUGUGCUAUUUAACCCCUUCAAUUAUUUUUGCUAACCUAUCAUAAAUCUUGCUGCUCAAUAAAGGGAAUAUGAUUAUAGAAUGAUGGGUCAUUCUUAAAAAUAUGACAACACUUGAAACUAUGCAAUAUACCUAGCUAGGGGCAUAAAACAAUAGCGCUUGUUGGGAGGCAACCCAAUAGUUAUCUCUAUUUUUUCUUUUAAAUUUUUAUCAGUUUGCGAUAACAUGAUUAUUUCCUAUGUAAUUAUUAUGUUUCUAUGUUUAAUUACUGUUUGUACCAAGUAAAUCCUUUGGGAUGAUUUGCAUGAUGAGUAGAAUUAAUACGGUGCAAAAACAGAAACUUUGACGUCCACUACAGAAUAUCUCUGAUUUUACUAGAACGUAUUUUCAAGCUGAAAUUUUUACACGCUAUGAAUACGCAAAUUCGUUAGGUCGUCCUAAACUUUCAGAACUUUUGGAGUUACUUUAGUAUAGGUUCAUUACAAAUUACCACAGAUUGUUCUGUUUGAGUCACAUUCUGUUUUUGCAUGCGAAGUUUGCUUGUUUUGAUGAUGCUAUGAAUUGUAUCAGGGUAUAAGCCAUGGAAGAGUUAGGACACAGUACCCUAUGCUAAAAUAAAAUAAUAAUCAACUUGUAAGAGAACCUGAAAGUAUUUGAUAUGUUGCUGAUACUAACGGAUCUCACAAAGUUUUGUUGAGUUUUAUGUGAUUGAAGUUUUCAAGUUUUGGGUAUUGUCCUAAUGGACAAAGGAUUGAGGAUCAGCAAAAGCCUAAGCUUGGAAAUUCCCAAGGAACCCCAAUGUAAUAUUCCAGGAAGGCUCAAGCGUCUAAGCUUGGGGAUACCCCGAAAGACAUCCCCUCUUUUCGUCUCAAUCCAUCGGUAUGUUACUUUGGGCUAUAUUUUUACUCAUCACAUGAUAUAUUUUUACUCAUCACAUAAAAUCAUUGUUUGCUGGACACACCUAUCUUAGAGAUAGACCACGUCAUCACAAUUUGUUAGAAUACUCUAUGUGCUUCACUUAUAUCUUUUGAGCUUAGCAGUUGCUCUAGUACUUCACUUAUAUCUUCUCGAGCACGGUGGCAUGUAGAUUUUAUUGAAAUAUUAUGAUCUCGUUCUUCACUUAUAUUUGUUUGAGAGAUGAACAAAUAGUGACAGUAAUUUUCAUGGGUCAUAAGACUAGAUAAAAAAUAAUGAGUAUUCAAUGAGUGAUAAUUAAAACCAUCAUGUAGCACAUAUAGAGAAAUUAUGGGUUAAUGAUAUUGAUGUGGUGAUAUGGAAAAGGUAAGAGUGCAUUAUUAUUAAUUCAGAAAGGUGUAGAUAUUAAUAGAUGUUAAACUUUGUGCUCAUCUAAAAUAUUAAAAGGGCAUGGUGAUGAUGUGUGAACAUUUCUAUUCCUCGCUGAAAUCCUAGCGUUGUUUUUAGUCGAAGACGCACGAUGGUUAAUUCCUACCAACCCUCUCCCUCAGGGCAUGCGAGUAGUACUUUGACUUGUGAUAAAACUAAUAAAACUUUCCAACAAGUAUAUGAGUUCUUCUUGACUAAUGUGACACCAUGGACAUAUGCAAUCUCACCUCCUCUUAAUUGCUAGCCUCUUCGGUAUCGUGCAUCGCCCGUUCUCACCUUGAGGGUCGGUGCGACUUUCGCCAGUGUAUCCCAACCCCGUGACAUGACACGCACUGUUGCACAUAAACCUUUUUAUAUACUCCUCAAAACAGCCACCAUAACUACCUAUCAUGGCAUUUUCGUAUACAUUCCGAGAUAUAUUGUUAUGCAAAUGUCACCGUCACUUCACAUGACUAGUUCGUUCAUAAUCAUAAUGCUUUGCAUGAUCAUAUAGAGAUGACAUAGUAACCAGUAGCAACAAAGUGACAACAGUAGAAGCAAAGUAACAGCAGUAGCGGCAAAGUAACAGUAGCAGCAGUGACAGCAGUAGCGGCAAAGUAACGUAGCAAGGACCAGUAGGAAAAAAACUCGUAGGCAUUAGAUCGGUGAUGGAUGAUUAUGUCGGAUGUUAGUCAUCAUGCAACAGCUAUAACACGGAGAGAUAUGUAACUAGCUCCAGUUCAUCAGUGUAAUGUAGGCAUGUAUUCCGUAUGUAGUCAUACGUGCUUAGGGAAAAGAACUUGCAUGACAUCUAUUGUCCAUCCCUCCCGUGGCAGAGGGGUCCUAAUGGAAACUACGGGAUAUUAAGGUUCUCCUUUUAAUAAAGAACCGGACCAACGCAUUAACACUUGGUGAAUACAUGAACUCCUCAUACUAUGGUCAUCUCCGGGAGUGGUUCUGGCUGUUGUCACUCCGGGGUUGCCGGGUCAUAACACAUAGUAGGUGACUACAACUUGCAAGAUAGGAUCAAGAACACACAUAUAUUGGCGACAACAUAAUAGGUUCAGAUCUGAAAUCAUGGCACUCGGGCCCUAGUGACAAGCAUUAAGCAUGGCAAAGUAGUAGCAACAUCAAUCUUAGAACAUAGUGGAAACUAGGGAUCAAUCCCCGUCAAAACUAACUCGAUUACAUGAUAGAUCUCAUCCAACCCAUCACCGUCGAGCAAGCCUACGACGAGAUUACUCACGAACGGUGAAGAGCAUCAUGGAAUUGGCGAUGAAGGAAGGUUGGUGAUGACGCUGGCGACGAUUUCCCCUCUCCGGAGCCCAGAACGGCCUCCAGAUCUGCCCUCCAGAGGAAGAACUGGAGGUGGCGGCGCCUCCGUAUUGUAAAACGCAAUGAACUCUUCUCCUUGAUUUUUUCGGACGAAAAGGACUAAAUAGACCUGAGAUUGGAAGCGAUGGAGCAAUGGGCCCCACAAGCCUGCCAGACGUGGCCAGGGGGGCCCACGCCUGGUGGGCUUGUGGGCUCCAUGAUCCACUUUCUCCGUUGAUUCUUGCGCCAGUAUUUUUCAUAUAUUCCACAAAAAUUCUUCGUAAAUUUUCAGGUCAUUCCGAGAACUUUUAUUUCUGCGCAAAAACAACACCAUAGAAAUUCUGCUGAAAACAGCGUUAGUCCGGGUUAGUUCCAUUCAAAUCAUGCAAAUUAGAGUCCAAAACAAGGGCAAAAGAGUUUGGAAAAGUAGAUACAACAGAGACGUAUCAACUCCCCCAAACUUAAAACCUUGCUUGUCCUCAAGCAAUUCAGUUGUCAAACUGAAAGAGACAAAAGGAAAACUUUUACGAACUCUGUUUGAUCUUGUUGUUGCAACUAUGUCUAACUCAUAUCCAGAAUUUCAGCAAGAUCACAAGCUAACCACAUAAGCAAAUGACAUCUAGGUCUCACGGUAAACUCAUAUCAAUGGCAUAAUCAACUAGCGAGCAAAUAAUAAUAAGUCUCAAACGUCAACACUUCAAUCAAAACAAUCAUGAAGCAGUACGAAUAGAUGGUAUCUCUCUAGCUCUUUCUGAGACCACAAAACAUAAAUGUAGAGCACCUUCAAAGACCAAGGGCUGACUAAACAUUGUAUUUCAUGGCAAAAAAGAUCCAGUCACAGUCAUACUCAAUCACAGUUAAAAGCAAAGCAUAAAAAUGACAGAGGUGCUCUCUAAUUGGUGCGUUUAUAAGAAGAGGAUGACUCAACAGGAACAUAAAUAGAUNNNNNNNNNNNNNNNNNNNNNNNNNNNNNNNNNNNNNNNNNNNNNNNNNNNNNNNNNNNNNNNNNNNNNNNNNNNNNNNNNNNNNNNNNNNNNNNNNNNNUAGUGGUAUAUAUAGUUUAGUUGGUAGGUUAGUUAAUUAGUAGAUUUAGUGGUAGUUUAGUUAGUUGGUAGAUUAUGUUUAGUUAGUUGGUAGUUUAGUUAGUUGGUACAUUUAGUUAGUUAAUUAGUAGAUUUAGUAGGUAGUUUAGUGGUAGAUUGUGUUUUGUUAAUUAGUGGUAGCUAGAUUGUCUUUUAGCUACUUAGUGGUAGAUUCUGUUUUUGUUAUUUUGUUGUUGUUUAGUGCUAUAUAGGUUUAGCGAUAGGUUUAGUGCUAGUUUACGUAGAUAAGGGAAGAAUAAUAAGNNNNNNNNNNNNNNNNNNNNNNNNNNNNNNNNNNNNNNNNNNNNNNNNNNNNNNNNNNNNNNNNNNNNNNNNNNNNNNNNNNNNNNNNNNNNNNNNNNNNNNNNNNNNNNNNNNNNNNNNNNNNNNNNNNNNNNNNNNNNNNNNNNNNNNNNNNNNNNNNNNNNNNNNNNNNNNNNNNNNNNNNNNNNNNNNNNNNNNNNNNNNNNNNNNNNNNNNNNNNNNNNNNNNNNNNNNNNNNNNNNNNNNNNNNNNNNNNNNNNNNNNNNNNNGAAGAUGAAGAAGAAGAAAAUGAAAUCCCGACACCACGACACCUGACACGAUGCCCCGAAUCCUCGACACGACGCCCCGACACGACAUCUCGACGACUCCCCGACACGAAAUAUUUUUUAUGGAUCCUAGAUGACAUCUAUAUAGGUCAUAUAUUUGUGUUAGGUCAUAUAUUUUUCGAUUUUAUUAAUGAACACAAAAUAUUUGUGUUCAACGGGUGGAUUUACAUGUCACAGUUGUCUCGCUGCUGUCAGGUCUGCUGUCCGAAGACCUCCCCGUGCGUUCUACGAGCUCCGCCCCUGCAUUUGUGGGUGAGUACAAAUGUCAUAUCCUCCUCGCCCCUUCAUUUUUGGUGGGUCGGUCUUCAGAUGAAACUUGCUAGAUAUAGGUAAUUAAAUUAAUUUAUCAGUAUGCGUGACCAGUAUGUGUUUGCCAUUCGAAAGGGUUACAGUUAUAAAUAUGCAUGUAUUUGCAUAUAUUUAUAACCGCGAUUCUUCCGAAUUGUCCAACGUUAUACAUGGACAACCCGAGUAUGUGUAGAUUGGGUUCAUUUUCCCAUAUGCUUUGUUCCGGAUCCGAUGCAUAAUUUCGUCAGUGCCUCCCUCUUGUUCUCCGGAUACACAUCCUCUCUGUUUAUUAUGGAGACGUGUAUCAGGAGAACAACGGGGAGAUCCUACCGAAAUUUUGCGUUGGAUCCGGAGUAGGGCAUGGGAAAAUGGACCCAAUCUACACAUACUCGGGUGGGAUUAGGACCUAUCUUUACCUAUUAGCGCGUAGGUUGCAUUGACGUAAUAAAACUGGCGAACUUGAUUAACUGAUGAAUAUAUAUGCUGAAUUAUAUAUAAAUAUAUUUCUUGUGUGUUUAGUAACUAGGCAAGAUGAGUGUGUUGGAAAUAUGCCCUAGAGGCGAUAAUAAAAUGGUUAUUAUCAUAUUUCCUUGUUCAUGAUAAUCGUCUAUUGUUCAUGCUAUAAUUGUAUUAACAGGAAACAGUAAUACAAGUGUGAAUAAAUAGAUCACAAUGUGUCCCUAGCAAGCCUCUAGUUAGCUAGCUCGUUAGUCAAUAGAUGAUCAUGGUUUCCUGAUCAUGGGCAUUAGAUGUCAUUGAUGACGGGAUCACAUCAUUGGAGAAUGAUGUGAUGGACAAGACCCAAUCCUAAGCAUAGCACUAGAUCAUAUUGUUGGUAUGCUAAAGCUUUUCUAAUGUCAAGUGUAUUUUAUUUCAACCGUGAGAUUGUGCAACUCCCGGAUACCGUAGGAGUGCUUUGGGUGUAUCAAACGUCACAACAUAACUGGGUGACUAUAAAGGUGCACUACGGGUACCUCCGAAAGUGUCUGUUGGGUUGGUACGAAUCGAGAUCGGGAUUUGUCACUCCGUGUGACGGAGAGGUAUGUCUGGGCCCACUCGGUAGAACAUCAUCAUGAGCUCAAUGUGACUAAGGAGUUAGUCACAUGAUGACGUGCUACGGAACGAGUAAAGAGACUUACCGGUAAUGAGAUUGAACAAGGUAUAGGUAUACCGGCGAUCGAAUCUCGGGCAAGUUCUAUACCGACAAACAAAGGGAAUCGUAUACGGGAUUGAUUGAAUCCUUGACAUCGUGGUUCAUCCGAUGAGAUCAUCGUGGAGCAAGUGGGAGCCACCAUGGAUAUCCAGACCCCACUGAUGGUUAUUUGUCGGAGAGGCGUCUCGGUCAUGUCUGCCUGUCUCCCGAACCCGUAGGGUCUACACACUUAAGGUUCGAUGACACUAGGGUUAUAGGGAAUUUUUAUACGAGGUUACUGAAAGUUGUUCGGAGUCUCGGAUGAGAUCCCGGACGUCACAAGGAGCUCCUAAAUGGUCCGAAGGUAAAGAUUGAUAUAUAGGACGGAUGGUUUGGGACACCGGAAGUGUUUCGGGCAUCACCGGUAACGUACCGGGACCACCGGGACCAUCGGAGGUGGCCCCGGGGAUCCACCGAAGGGUGGCAACGACCCCGGGAGGUAAGAUGGGCCAAGUGGGGAAGGGAACCAGCCCCUAGGUGGGCUGGUGCACCUCCCCACUCAGCCCAAUGCACAGGCGAGAGGGAAGGGGGGGGCAAACCCUAAGCCAGGUGGGCCUAAGGCCCACCAGGUGGUGCGCCACCCCCUCCCACCCUAGCCGCCGCACCUGUUUCCCAUCUGGUGGCUGCCACACCACCUAGGGGGGAACCCUAGGGGUGGCGCACCCCCCUCCCCCUCCUCCUAUAAAUAGAGAGGGGUUUUGGCCCUUGGGAGAUAGACUUUUCCCUCUCUCUCGGCGCAGCCCUACCCUUCUUCCUCCUCCUCUCUGUCGGUGCUUGGCGAAGCCCUACCAGGAGACCUCGUCUCUCCAUCGACACCAUGCCGUCGUGCUGCUAGAGUUCUUCCCCCAACCUCUCCCUCCUCCUUGCUGGAUCAAGGUGCGGGAGACGUCACCGGGCUGCACGUGUGUUGAACGCGGAGGUGUCGUAGUUCGGCACUAGAUCGGAAUCGCUGCGAGUACGACUCCAUCAACCGCGUUCUAGCAACGCUUCCGCUUAGCGAUCUUCAAAGGUAUGAAGAUGCUCUUACCCCUCUCUCGUUGCUGGUCUCUCCAUAGGAAGAUCUGAAUAUGUACGUAACCCAACAGUGGCAUCUGAGCCAGGUUUUCUAUGCGUAGAUUCUAUGCACGAGUAGAACACAAAAGUUGUGGGCGAUGAUUUGUCAAUUUGCUUGCCGCUACUAGUCUUAUUAUUUUCCGGCGGUAUUGUGGGAUAAAGCGGCCCGGACCGACUUUAGACGUACGCUUACGUGAGACUGGUUCCACCGACAGACAUGCACACCGUGCAUAAAGGUGGCUAGCGGGUGUCUGUCUCUCCUACUCUAGUCGGAUUGGAUUUGAUGAAAAGGGUCCUUAUGAAGGGUAAAUAGCUUUGGCGUAUCAUCAUUGUGGCUGUCACGUAGGUAAGAAGGCGUUCUUGCUAGAAACCCAAAUCAGCCACGUAAAACUUGCGACAACAAUUAGAGGACGUCUAACUUGUUUUUGCAGGGUUUGACAUGUGAUGUGAUAUGGCCAAAGUUGUGAUGUUGCAUGUAUGAUGUAUCAGAUGAUCAUGUUAUUGUAAUAGGUUUCACGACUUGCAUGUUGAUGAGUAUGAAAAUCGGCAGGAGCCAUAGGAGUUGUCUUAAUUUAUUGUAUGAGAUGCAACGCCAUGUGCUUACUACUUUUACUUCAUUGCUAAUGGUUAGCUAUAGUAGUAGUGAUAGUAGUAGUUGGCGUGACGACUUCAUGGAGACAUGAUGAUGGAGAUCAUGGUGUCACGCUGGUGACGAUGAUGAUCAUGCGAUGCCUGAAGAUGAGAUCGAAAGGGCGAAGAUGAUAAUGGCCAUAUCAUGUCACUAUAUGAUUGCAAUGUGAUGUUUAUCAUGUUCUACAUCUUAUUGCUUAGAACGACGGUAGCAUAAUAAGAUGAUCCCUCUUAAAAUUUCGAGAACGUAUUACCUUAAGUGUGCAUAGUUGCGAAGGUUCAUUGUCUCGAAGCACCACGUGAUGAUCGGGCGUGAUAGAUUCUAACGUUCGCAUACAACAGGUGUAAGCCAGAUUUACACACGCGAAACACCUAGGUUGACUCGACGAGCUUAGCAUGUACAGACAUGACCUCGAAUACAAGAGACCGAAAGGUCGAACAUGAGUCGUAUGGUUGAAUACGAUCAUCAUUAAGUUGCUCACCAUGGUGACUAGUCCGUCUCACGUGAUGAUCGGACACGGGUUAGUCAACAUGGAUCAUGUAUCACUUAGAUACCUAGAGGGAUAUCGAUUUAAGUGGGAGUUCAUACUUAAUUUGAUUAAAUGAACUUAAUUGUCAUGAACUUAGUCUAAAAGUUGUCUUUAUAAAUAUUGUAGAUGGCCAACGUCAACCUCAAUUUCAACGCAUUCCUAGAGAAAAACAAGCUGAAAGAUGAUGGUAGCAACUAUGCGGACUGGGUUCGCAACUUGAAGCUCAUCCUUGAAGCAGCUAAAAAGGCUUGUGUCCUUGAUGCGCCGCUAGGUGACCCUCCCGCUCCCGCAGCAGCCGAGGACAUUCUGAACGUCUGGCAAGCGCGGAGUGAUGACUACUCUCUCGUUAGGUGUGGCAUGUUAUAUAGUUUAGAAACGGGGCUCCAAAGGCGUUUUGAGCAACACGAAGCAUAUGAGAUCUUCCAAGAGCUAAAGCUAGUUUUUCAAGCUCAUGCCCGUGUCGAGAGAUAUGAAGUCUCCGACAAGUUCUUUAGAUGUAAGAUGGAGGAGAACAGUUAUGUCAGUGUGCACAUACUCAAAAUGUCUGGGUUACACGAUCGUCUGACUUCACUUGAAGUCGAACUUCCGGAUGAUGCUAUAAUUGACAGAAUCCUCUAGUCUCUCCCACCAAGCUACAAAGGCUUUGUGCUUAACUACAACAUGCAAGGGAUGGAGAAGACCAUUCCCGAGUUGUACUCGAUGCUCAAGUAUGCAGAAGUAGAAAUCAAGAAAGAGCAUCAAGUGUUGAUGGUCAACAAGACCACUAGUUUCAAGAAAGGCAAGGGUAAGAAGAACUUCAAGAAAGACGGCAAAGCUGUUGCCGCGCCCGGUAAGCCAGAUGCCGGGAAGAGGAAAAAGAAUGGACCCAAGCCUGAGACUGAGUGCUUCUAUUGCAAGGGAAAGGGUCACUGGAAGCGGAACUGCCCCAAAUACUUAGCGGACAAGAAGGCCGGCAACGUUAAAGGUAUAUGUGAUAACAUGUUAUUGAUGUGUACCUUACCAGCGCUCGUAGUAGCUCCUGGGUAUUUGAUACCGGUGAUGUUGCUCACAUUUGCAACUCAAAGCAGGAACUGCGGAAUAAGCGGAGACUGGCCAAGGACGAGGUGACGAUGCGCGUCGGAAAUGGUUCAAAGGUCGAUGUGAUCGCCGUCGGCACGCUACCUCUAGAUCUACCGUCGGCAUUAGUCUUAAACCUUAAUAAUUGUUAUUUAGUACCAGCUUUAAGCAUGGACAUUGUAUCAGGGUCUUGCUUAAUGCGAGACGGCUAAUCAUUUAAGUCAGAGAAUAUUGGUUGUUCUAUUUAUAUGAGUGAUAUGUUUUAUGAUCAUGCUCCGCUGGUGAAUGGUUUAUUCUUGAUGAAUCUCGAUCGUGAUGUUACACAUAUUCAUAGUGUGAGUACCAAAAGAUGUAAAGUUGAUAAUGAUAGUCCCACAUACUUGUGGCACUGCCGCCUUGGUCAUAUCGGCGUUAAGCGCAUGAAGAAGCUCCAUACUGAUGGACUAUUAGAGUCUCUUGACUUUGAAUCAUUUGACACAUGCGAACCGUGCCUCAUGGGCAAGAUGACUAAGACUCCAUUCUCAGGAAUAAUGGAGAGAGCAACCGACUUAUUGGAAAUAAUACAUACUGAUGUGUGUGGUCCAAUGAACGUUGAAGCUCGCGGUGGCUGUCGUUAUGUUCUCACUCUCACCGAUGAUUUGAGUAGGUAUGGGUAUAUCUACUUGAUGAAGCACAAAUCUGAGACAUUUGAAAAUUUCAAGGAAUUUCAGAGUGAGGUCGAGAAUCAACGUGACAGAAAAAUCAAGUGUCUACGAUCUGAUCGUGAAGGAGAAUAUUUGAGUCACGAGUUUGGCACACACCUAAGGAAGUGUGGAAUCGUUUCACAACUAACGCCGCCUGGCACACCGCAACGCAACGGAGUGUGUGAACAUCGUAAUCGCACUUUAUUAGAUAUGGUACGAUCUAUGAUGUCUCUUACCGACUUACCACUAUCAUUUUGGGGAUAUGCAUUAGAAACUGCAGCAUUCACUUUAAAUAGGGUACCGUCUAAAUCCGUUGAGACGACACCGUAUGAACUAUGGUUUGGCAAGAAACCUAAGUUAUCGUUUCUUAAAGUUUGGGGCUGCGAUGCUUAUAUGAAGAAACUUCAACCAGAAAAGCUCGAACCCAAAGCGGAUAAAUGCGUAUUCAUAGGAUACCCUAAAGGAACUAUUGGGUAUACCUUCUAUCUUAGAUCCGAAGGUAAAACCUUUGUUGCCAAGAACGGAUCCUUUCUAGAGAAAGAGUUUUCUCGAAAGAAGUAAGUGGGAGGAAGGUAGAACUUGAUGAGGUAAUUACACCCCCUCUCGAACAGGAUAGUAGCGCAGCGCGGGAAGUUGUUCCUGUGGCGCCUACACCAACUGAGGAGGAAGUUAAUGAUGAUGAUCAUGAAGCUUCGAAUCAAGUUACUACUGAACCGCGAAGGUCCACAAGGGCACGCUCUGCACCAGAGUGGUACGACAACCCUGUGGUGGAGAUCAUGUUGUUAGACAACCGUGAACCUUCGAACAAUGAAGAAGCGAUGGCGGCCCGGAUUCCAACAAAUGGCUUGAGGCUAUGAAAUCCGAGAUAGGAUCCAUGUAUGAGAACAAAGUAUGGACUUUGGUGGACUUGCCUGAUGACCGGCGAGCCAUAGAAAAUAAAUGGAUCUUCAAGAAGAAGACUGAUGCAAACGGUAAUGUAACCGUUUACAAAGCUCGACUUGUCGCAAAGGUUUUUCGAGAAAUUCAAGGAGUUAACUACGAAGAGACUUUCUCUCCCGUAGCGAAGCUGAAAUCAGUCUAAAUCAUGUUAGCAAUUGCCGCCUUUUAUGAUUAUGAAAUUUGGCAAAUGGACGUCAAAACAGCGUUCCUUAACGGGAACCUUAAGGAAGAGUUGUAUAUGAUGCAACCAGAAGGUUUUGUCGACCCUAAGGGUGCUAACAAAGUGUGCAAGCUCCAGUGCUCCAUCUAUGGGCUGGUGCAAGCAUCUCCGAGUUGGAACAUUCGCUUUAAUGAGGUGAUUAAAGCGUUUGGGUUCAUACAGGUUUACGGAGAAACCUGUCUGUAUGAGAAAGUGAGUGGGAGCUCUGUAGCUUUCCUCAUACUGUAUGUGGAUGACAUAUUAUUGAUGGGGAAUAAUAUAGAGAUGUUGGAGAGCAUAAAGGCCUAUUUGAACAAGAGUUUUUCAAUGAAGGACCUUGGAGAAGCUGCAUACAUAUUAGGCAUCAAGAUCUAUAGAGAUCGAUCGAGACGCCUCAUAGGUCUUUCGCAAAGCACAUACCUUGACAAGAUAUUGAAGAAGUUCAAUAUGGAUAACUCAAAGAAAGGGUUCUUGCCAGUUUUGCAAGGUAUGAGAUUGAGUAAGACUCAGUCGCUGACCACGGCAGCAGAAAGAGAGAAGAUGAGUUAUGUCCCCUACGCUUCAGCCGUGGGCUCUCUAAUGUAUGCCAUGCUGUGUACCAGACCUGAUAUAAACCUUGCCAUAAGUUUGGUAGGGAGGUACCAAAGUGAUUCCGGUAUGGAACACUGGACAGCGGUCAAGAAUAUCCUUAAGUACCUGAAAAGGACUAAGGAAAUGUUUCUCGUUUAUGGAGGUGACGAAGAGCUCGUCGUAAAGGGUUACGUCGACGCUAGCUUCGACACAGAUCCGGGUGACUCUAAGUCACAGACCGGAUACGUAUAUGUGUUGAAUGGUGGGGUAGUGAGCUAGUGCAGCAGCAAGCAAGAAGUCGUGGCAGCAUCUACAUGUGAAGCGGAGUACAUAGCUGCUUCAGAAGCAACUCAUGAAGGAAUUUGGAUGAAGGAGCUCAUCACCGACCUUGGAGUGGUUCCAAGCGCGUCGGGUCCAAUGACACUCUUCUGUGAUAACACUGGGGCCAUUGCCAUAGCCAAGGAGCCCAGGUUUCACUGGAAGACGAAGCACAUCAAAUGCCGCUACAACUCCAUCCAGGACCAUGACCAGAGUGGAGUGAUAGAUAUUUGUAAAGUACACACGGAUCUGAAUGUUGCAGACCCGUUGACUAAACCUCUUCCACGAGCAAAACAUGAUCAACACCAUAAUGCUAUGGGUGUUCAAUACAUCACAAUGUAACUAGAUUAUUGACUCUAGUGCAAGUGGGAGACUGUUGGAAAUAUGCCCUAGAGGCAAUAAUAAAAUGGUUAUUAUCAUAUUUCCUUGUUCAUGAUAAUCGUCUAUUGUUCAUGCUAUAAUUGUAUUAAGAGGAAAGAGUAAUACACGUGUGAAUAAAUCGAUCACAAUGUGUCCGUAGCAAGCCUCUAGUUAGCUAGCUCGUUAGUCAAUAGAUUAUCAUGGUUUCCUGAUCAUGGGCAUUAGAUGUCAUUGAUGACGGGAUCACAUCAUUGGAGAAUGAUGUGAUGGACAAGACCCAAUCCUAAGCAUAGCACUAGAUCGUAUUGUUCAUAUGCUAAAGCUUUUCUAAUGUCAAGUGUCUUUUCCUUCGACCGUGAGAUUGUGCAACUCCCGGAUACCGUAGGAGUGCUUUGGGUGUAUCAAACGUCACAACGUAACUGGGUGACUAUAAAGGUGCACUACGGGUACCUCUGAAAGUGUCUUUUGGGUUGGUACGAAUCGAGAUCGGGAUUUGUCACUCCGUGUGACAGAGAGGUAUCUCUGGGCCCACUCAGUAGAACAUCAUCAUGAGCUCAAUGUGACUAAGGAGUUAGUCACACGAUGACGUGCUACGGAACGAGUAAAGAGACUUACCGGUCACGAGAUUGAACAAGGUAUAGGUAUACCGACGAUCGAAUCUCGAGCAAGUUCUAUACCGACAGACAAAGGGAAUCGUAUACGGGAUUGAUUGAAUCCUUGACAUCAUGGUUCAUCCGAUGUGAUCACUGUGGAGCAAGUGGGAGACACCAUGGGUAUCUAGACCCCGCUGAUGGUUAUUGGCCGGAGAGGCGUCUCGGUCAUGUCUGCUUUUCUCCCGAACCCGUAGGGUCUACACACUUAAGGUCCGAUGACGCUAGGGUUAUAGGGAAUUGUUAUACGAGGUUACCGAAAGUUGUUCGGAGUCCCAGAUGAGAUCCCGGACAUCACGAGGAGCUCCGUAAUGGUCCGGAGGUAAAGAUUGAUAUAUAGGACGGAUGGUUUCGGACACCGGAAGUCUUUCGGGCAUCAUCGGUAACGUACCGGGACCACCGGGACCACCGAAGGGGGCAACGACCCCGGGAGGUAAGAUGGGCCGAGUGGGGAAGGGAACCACCCCUAGGUGGGCUGGUGCGCCUCGCCACUCUGCCCAAUGCGCAGGGGAGAGAGAAGGGGGGGGCAAACCCUAAGCCAGGUGGGCCUAAGGCCCACCAGGUGGUGCGCCACCCCCUCCCACCCUAGCCGCCACCCCCCUUUCCCAUCUGGUGGCUGCCGCACCACCUAGGGGGUAACCCUAGGGGUGGUGCACUCCCUCCACCUCCUCCUAUAAAUAGAGAGGGGUUUUGGCCCUUGGGAGAUAGACUUUUCCCUCUCUCUCAGCGCAGCCCUGCCCUUCUUCCUCCUCCUCUUUGUCGGUGCUUGGCGAAGCCCUGCCGGGAGACCUCGUCUCUCCAUCGACACCAUGCCGUCGUGCUGCUGGAGUUCUUCCCCAGCCUCUCCCUCCUGCUUGCUGGAUCAAGGUGCGGGAGACGUCACCGGGCUGCACGUGUGUUGAACGCGGAGGUGCCGUAGUUUGGCACUAGAUCGGAAUCGCUGCGAGUACGACUCCAUCAACCGCAUUCUAGCAACGCUUACACUUAGCGAUCUUCAAAGGUAUGAAGAUGCUCUUACCCCUCUCUCGUUGCUGGUCUCUCCAUAGGAAGAUCUGAAUAUGCGUAGGAAAAUUUUGAAUUUAUGCUACGUAACCCAACAGAGUGAUCGUGCGUGGAUGUACACGGGUCACCCUAGUCAGAAAGAGAUGAUGAAAGAAUGGUUUCUAAAAACCAAGGAGUUUGUGAAAGCCGCAUUUGCAAAUGUGCAGGAAACAAACUGGUGCCCUUGUCCUGAAUGCGACAACUAUAACAAAAGGACAGAUGCUGUAAUGAUUAAACACCUGCAGAGGAGGGGUUUUAAGCCUAAUUAUACGGUUUGGACAUUUCUUGGUGACUCUAUACAACGCACUAGAGCUGAGGUGGUUCAUCGUCGCACCGACGAGCAUGGUACCGGGAUCGAAGACAUGGUGCAAGACUUUGAUGAUGCUCGGGAUUCGGCAGAUGAGAUGGAGGAAUCUGCAAAGGCCUUCUAUGAAAUGUUGGAGUCUUCAAAACGUCCUCUCCAUGAGCACACUGAGCUUUGUCAGUUGGAUGCCAUUGCACAAGUAAUGGCUCUGAAGGCUCAGUUCAACUUGGGAAGAGAAUCCUAUGACGCGAUGAUGACACUAUUUGGACGCUUUCUACCCAAAGGCCAUGUCAUGCCUGCAAAACUAUACCAGUCAGACAAAAUACUUCGUGUACUUAAGAUGCCCUAUGAGAAGAUACAUGCAUGUGAGAAAGGAUGUGUCUUAUUUAGGAAGGAGUAUGCACACUUGGACUAUUGUCCCAAUUGGAAGUCUUGCAGGUAUCUUGUGGCAGACAACGGUAUGGGUGAGAAGAGGCUGACCAAAGUUGCAGUUAGUGUUCUUCCGUAUAUGCCAAUCAUACCAAGGCUUCAACAUCUUUUGAUGGUCGAAGAGACAGCCAGAUAGAUGACAUGGCACAAAAUGGGCAAAAGAAUCGACCUAGAUGCGGAUGGGAAUAAGAUGGCAGUACACACAUUGGAUGGGGAAGCUUGGAAACAUUUUGAUGGAUUGCAUCACGAUAAAGCGGCAGAUCCGAGGAAUCCUCGAGUCUGCAUCGCCACAGAUGGUUUUAAUCCCUUCAGCAUGACGGCAACCCAAUACAAUAGUUGGCAUGUAUUUGUCAUUCCACUCAAUCUCCCCCCGGGCAGAUUAUGCAAAGAAAGAACAUAUUUCUAACAUUGAUAAUUCCAGGGCCCAAUUAUCGGGGGAAGAAUAUGAAUGUGUACAUGCAGCCGCUUAAGGAUGAAUUGCAAGAAGCUUGGGACAAUGGGGUCAAGACAUACGAUGCCGCUAGAAAAGAGAACUUCAAAAUGCAUGUGUGGUACAUGUACUCUAUGCAAGACUUGUCGGCGUAUGCGCUAUUCUACGGAUGGUGCGUGCAUGGAAGGUUCCCGUGCCCCACAUUCAAGGCAGCUCUUCAGUUUCAUUGGUUGCAGGAGGGUCAGAAGUAUUCUUGCUUUGACUUGCAUAGACAGUUCCUAGAUCCUGGCCAUCAAUUCAGAAAAGACAAGAAGAACUUUACCAAAGGUAAAGUUGUCAAAAACUUGGCACCACCUGUGUUGACAGGCCAACAGAUCCUGGAUCAGUUAAACGCCCUCGAGCCUGAUCCAAAGCGUCCAGGGUAUUUCAAGGGGUAUAAUUCAAAACACGCCUGGACUCACAAGCCAUGCUUGUGGGAUCUGCCUUACUUCAAAGACCUCCUUCUUCCACACAAUAUCGACAUGAUGCACACCGAAAAGAAUAUCAGAGAGGCUAUUUUUGGUACAUUGUUCGACAUAGAUGGGAAGACAAAGGAUAAUACUAAGGCUAGAGUCAAUCAAGAGACACUAUGUCACAGACCGUUACAAAACAUGCGAGAAGGCAAAGGAAAGCAGAAGUGGUCGAAGCCAAAGGACUGGUUCAAUCUUGGAAGGCCAGCUAUGAGGGAAAUUAUAUUGUGGGUCAAAAUGCACUUGAUGUUCCCCGAUGGGUAUGCAGCGAAUCUAAAGAGGGGAGCGAGUCUUGAAAAAAAUAAAAAUCUUGGUCUCAAGAGUCAUGAUUGGCACAUAUGGCUUGAGCGGGUAAUGCCGGUGAUGUUACGUGGCUUUAUUCCUGAGGAUGAAUGGCUAGUACUGGCGGAGCUGAGCUAUUUCUUCCGUGUUAUUUGUGAGAAAGAAUUGUCUCCUAGCGUGGUAGAUGACAUGGAAGAGUUUGCACCGGAGUUUCUAUGCAAGUUAGAGAAGAUCUUUCCGCCGGGCUUCUUUAAUCCAAUGCAGCAUUUGAUUUUACAUCUACCGACCGAGGCAAGAUUGGGUGGGCCCGUGCAAAAUUAUUGGUUCUAUGCAACUGAGAGGAUGCAGAAGACGCUUCGAGCUAAAUGUAAAAAUAAGCGUAGAGUUGAAGCAUCGAUGGUUAAGGCAUUCAUUACUGAGGAGGUGGCAAACUUUGUGACAGCACACUAGGAAGCCAAAUAUCAUCAUUUGCAUAAUCCGUAGCCUCGGUACAAUGAUGAAGACCCUAAAAGGGGUGGAUCUAACCUCAGCCUAUUCAAAGGGAAGCUCGCACCAGCUGGUGCUUCGAAACCAAUAACGUUGGAUGUCGAAGAAUGGCGAAACAUUUCGUUGUAUAUCUUCAACAACCUAACAGAAGUGCGGUUGUACAUCGAGUAAGUUCUCGACACAUUUUUUCAUAACUUCUAAUUCCUUUGAACUGCUCUUAUUCCUGGAUAUUUCAUACAGCCGAUACGUUGCCAAAUUCUCGGAUGGAGUGGUGACCCAAAAUGAUUUCGUCGAAGAGUAUGAGCUUCUAGCAAAUCAUGGAGGCGGCUAUCCCGGUUUCAUCUCUUGGUUCAAACAAACGGUAAUUAUCAAUAAUGGACCAUUUCAUUUCUUGGUCUAACUUUCGGCUAAUGCAACAAUCAUUUCGUAUUAAACUUGUAGGCUAAUUCAGAGUCUAUGGCCGCCGAGUUGAGACAAGCCGCUAAUGGUUUUGACUAUAAGGUCCAUUCAUUUGAGAAAUACAACAUCAAAGGGUAUCUCUUUGGUACCUUUCGCAAAGAGCUAUCUAUGCCCGACCGGAAAUCUACCAAUUGUGGUGUCUCUGCUAUCGGCAAAGGCGGUCUCGAGUAUUAUGGAAGGGUUGAAGCAAUUUAUGAACUUCAAUUAUAUGGUGAAAACCCACCGAACGUCGUAGUCUUGAAAUGUUCUUGGUUCCAUCCAAAGGAGACUACAAGGACUCAUGAACAUAUAGGACUAGUCAAAAUCUAUCCAAACACCCAUUUAGAUGUUCCCGAUGUCUAUAUUACGGCUCAACACGCGACCCAAGUUUUCUAUCUACCAUGGGCAUGCCAAACUGAUAAGAAUCUGGAAGGUUGGUAUGUUGUUUAUGAAGUGCAGCCACGUGUUAAACCAUCUCCCCCAAAUGAACAAGAUUAUGAACCUCACAUUAACUCAAACACAUAUGAUGGAGAAUUCUUCCAAGAAACACCUAUUUCCAAGAAACGUUUCAAGAACCGCCAUGCUUCACCCCAGAACAUGGAAGUAGACAACGACAAUGAAUCCAACUUCACCCCUGAGACGGAACCAACAGAGCUGGAACUAGAAGAGGUUACUGAUGGGAUGACCUGUCAAUGCUUGACUGAUUACAGAAACGCCUUCCACAACUUCAUUCGUUCAACCCGAUGAGCAUGUCAUUCAUGAAGAAAUGCGUGAUAGUGAUGAUGAUGAUGCAUUUAUUGAUGAUGAUUAUUAGUUUGUAAGAUUCCCAACUUAAAUUAUAUAUGUACGUAUUAUUAUUCAUGUGAGUUAUUCAAUUUUUUUAUGUUGUACUAAUUUAUUUUAAUCUUUAUCAUGGCAGGUCAGCAUGUGUUGAAAGAUGGUGGGCGCGGGUCUAGAUCGCUCAACAGGUUCUUCUUCGGCGGCCCGCACGAGGGGUGGUACUUCCAUUCCACCCCUAUGUCUCCGUAGAGCCUUUCCAGUCAGUCUGACGACACCACCCACGGGUGCUUCUUCGUCGGCGGCAUUGCCCACUGGGAGAGGUGCUGGCCGGGCAGGGAAGAAGGGGAAGGGUAUAGGGAGAGGUGGUGGCCGCGGAAGAGGUAGGCGGACUGUUGCGCCGUCCUCGUCACCACCACCAGCUCAUUCAUCCGAGCACAGGACUACUAUGGUGGACCCGUUUGCGGAGGAGGCUACGGGGACUCUAGUCUAGGAGCCUCGGGUGGACGGGCAUUCGGACCAUGAGACUCCGGUCCAGGAUUAGCCUCGGGUCGAGGUGCCUUCGGCCCACGAGACUCCGGUUCCUGAGGCUACGUCCUUGGAGACUUCUGCCACACACGCUUCGGCCGGCGUGGAGACGUCCGGAUGGGGUGCCUGGUCGGAUCGGACCGAGGUGCCGGAUUGGACCGAGGGUCCGAGUGGCUAUUCUGUUGAUGGCGGGGAUGAGUCUACGGAUAGUGAGGGUGACGUGCAGGUGGACGGGGCCACCGUGUACAGGCAUGGUAGUAUACGUCUCCCAGUCGCGUCGGCUACCAGCGAGCAGAGGCCGGUGAUUAAGCGUGAAGGGGAUAGGUAAGUACGUUUACUCUUUUUUUAGCUGCUGCCUUCAAGUUCCUUCAAAUAUCUAAUGCGUUGACCUUAUCAUACAGCAGGGGCUGGAAACACCCUGGUGGAGUCGACAAGCCAAACAGCAUCCUUGGUGUGCUUUGUCGGACAAAUUUCUCGGGGUUUGUCACGUUGCCUGGUGAGGGUCAGGUUCCUACACUAGGAUUUUCCUCGGAGCACUACCAGGCUGUGCAGGCCCCGUCGGAGGACAUUAUAGAUGGUGCCUUGUGCCACACGAGGGCCGAUAUGAUGAUCAACAACUUUUGGGCAAAUUAUCCUUUUACACAAUCUAAAAUUAACAAUAUAGCUAAUUAUUGUACUAAUCGGUGUUGUCUCGUUUGAUUGCAGACCUUCUAUACGUGUGAGGAGGAGGCGGCCAAGGUUAUCAAGGCCGAGUGUAGGCGGUUAUUACAGAAUUUACGCCACAAGGCUCGGCCGCGGGCCAUUCGAGACUACUAUGCCACGAUUGGUAUUAAGAAGCAGAAGAAGGAGUGCCGCGGAAAGUAUCUGAAGGAGGAGUACAUGAAGGUAAUUACCUAUUCUUAAGGCCUUGUAUGUAGUUUUCUUGAUUUGAUUCAUAGGUGUAGCGCUCAAAAUUCGAGCCGACCACGACAAUGCAAAGGAUCAGCGUAGCAAAAUGGUUGGUGUGCCACACCAUCAAGGGAGCGCCAACUUACUUCAGUUCGGACGAAACUGGGUAUGUGGUUUGCUUCAUGAUUCAUGCAAUUCAUUCUUCAUGCUAGCUUGAGCCCCUUACUAAUACUUUGUUCCUCUCUUUUAGGCGCACCAUAAUAAGAUGGAGAUGCCAAAGUUCUACGACCUUUAUGGCAUGGCCCAUACCGCCUCGUACAAGAAGGUGAAGGCAUUCUGUGAGUCUAACCUGGAUGAUCCAAAUAACUUCACCAGCAUCUCAUCCCACCACAAGCUCAUGAAAUACAGGUACACAGGAAAGGCUUGGAAAGGGGAGGACUUUAACCCAAGCCAGGAACCUUUGGAUCCAGAGCUCGUGAUGAUAUCUGGUGGCGGGAGGCCCCAUGGCUCGAUAGCCAUUGGAGAUGGGAUAAUACGUUGUCCACUCACUCUCCCGGAGAUCAAGGCGCGCCAGUCAAGCUCCUGUCCUAAGAUAACGCCUGGUCCACGGGCAGUCGAUCUUGCCAUCGAGGUUAGUUGUACGGACUCAGAAAACUUCCAUCCAUUUCAUUGUGUGUGUGCCAUCGAUCAUUACUGUGGUAGCGAGGAAUGGUGUUGCAGGUUGCUCUUAAGAAAGAGAGAGUGGCAAACGAAGCUGCUCUUGAGAAAGAGAGAGCCGCAAGCCAGGCUGCUCUUGAGGAGAGAGACCAGACCACAGCUCGGUUGAUUGAGGGGGAGAGGGCCCGCAAUGAGGUGGCUCACCUCGUCAUGUACGAGCUUAUUGUGGUAAGUUUCUUUUUCACAUUAGCCAAAUCAUGUGUGUAAUGUAUGCUUCAUUACUAACUAAUACGACUGACUCUUCAAAACCGAAUGUGCAGUCUAUGUACGAGAAUACCGGUCAAGCCCCUUCACCGAUGCCCAUCUUCUGUGCGAUUGGCACGGUGAGUUUCAUAUCAAUGGUCAUUAUAAACUAGUAUUAACAAUUGAGUGUCAUCAUGCUAACCGAGACAUUGCAAAAUAUCUUUUCUGCAGAAUAACUCCCGAGAGGCAUCGCACGACCCUUCUCCAGGGCAACUGUCUCCAAACGAAGCCGACGCAAGGACCCUGGUGUUUCUCCUCCUUCAUGACCAAUGUGGUAAGUUUUCUCCAAAAUGACAAAAUAAGCUCCUACUUGAUUUCUACUAGGAAAAAUAGUUAGUGAAACCACUAGGUUCAUAACUUAGCUAAUUUAGCUCCAAAAUGGUUAGUGAAACCACUAGUCUCAUAACUUAGCUAAUUUAGCUCCAAAAUGACAUAAUAAGCUCGAUUGAAAUAGUAAAAAUGAAAAGAAGAAAUAAGAAGAAGAAGAGAAGNNNNNNNNNNNNNNNNNNNNNNNNNNNNNNNNNNNNNNNNNNNNNNNNNNNNNNNNNNNNNNNNNNNNNNNNNNNNNNNNNNNNNNNNNNNNNNNNNNNNNNNNNNNNNNNNNNNNNNNNNNNNNNNNNNNNNNNNNNNNNNNNNNNNNNNNNNNNNNNNNNNNNNNNNNNNNNNNNNNNNNNNNNNNNNNNNNNNNNNNNNNNNNNNNNNNNNNNNNNNNNNNNNNNNNNNNNNNNNNNNNNNNNNNNNNNNNNNNNNNNNNNNNNCUUCUCCUCCUCCUCCUUAUUCUUCUUAUUCUUCUUCUCCUUCUUCUCUUCUUUCUUCUUCUCUUUCUUCUUAAAUUUAGCUUAUUUUCCCCAACAAAGACAUACUUAGCUAAUUAUCCUCCAAAAUGACAUAAUUAGCUUAGUUAGGCAAAAACAUCAUAAGAACCUUGGUUAGCUCAUUAAAAUGACUAAUUAAGCUCCUAAAAGACAUUAUAAGCUCAAAAUGGCAUAAGAACCUUGGUUAGCUCAUUAAUAUUAUAUACUUAGCUUGUUUUCCUCUAUAAUGACAUAAUUUGCCCAUUUAGCUCNUCAAAAUGAUAUAAUUAGCUUAGUUAGGUAAAAACAUCAUAAGGACCUUGGUUAGCUCAUUAAAAUGACUAAUUAAGAUCCUAAAAGACAUUAUAAGCUCCAAAUGGCAUAAGAACCUUGGUUAGCUCAUUAAUAUUAUAUACUUAGCUUGUUUUCCUCUAUAAUGACAUAAUUUGCCCAUUUAGCUCNGGAGUGCUUUAGUUCUAGUUUUCAUUUGAGUUGAUGAACAAUGUGGAACUAUAUGUAUAUGUAUAUAUGGAUGAAGAAUAUAUGUGGAACUACAUGUAUAUGUAAAUAUUGCUGAAACUUUGUUUAUGUUGGUUAUUUUGAUAUAUGCGAUGUACAUUGAUGAACAAAUGGCAUUGAUGAACUUUAUAUGUAUAUCAUAUAUGUGUUCUGACCUAUAUAUCAUAUCUGUGCUAUGAAUUAUAUAUAAAUAUAUUUCUUGUGUGUUUAGUAACUAGGCAAGAUGAGUGUGUUGGAAAUAUGCCCUAGAGGCGAUAAUAAAAUGGUUAUUAUCAUAUUUCCUUGUUCAUGAUAAUCGUCUAUUGUUCAUGCUAUAAUUGUAUUAACAGGAAACAGUAAUACAAGUGUGAAUAAAUAGAUCACAAUGUGUCCCUAGCAAGCCUCUAGUUAGCUAGCUCGUUAGUCAAUAGAUGAUCAUGGUUUCCUGAUCAUGGGCAUUAGAUGUCAUUGAUGACGGGAUCACAUCAUUGGAGAAUGAUGUGAUGGACAAGACCCAAUCCUAAGCAUAGCACUAGAUCAUAUUGUUGGUAUGCUAAAGCUUUUCUAAUGUCAAGUGUAUUUUAUUUCAACCGUGAGAUUGUGCAACUCCCGGAUACCGUAGGAGUGCUUUGGGUGUAUCAAACGUCACAACAUAACUGGGUGACUAUAAAGGUGCACUACGGGUACCUCCGAAAGUGUCUGUNGCGGAUGGCAAAGGCCUUUGCCAUCAGGCAGCUGAUGGCAAAGGUGCCACGUGGCACCCAGCUGUGCAACCUGGGCAGCAACAGUUGGCCGUAUGGGCUCUUUGUCGUCCGCUGCCUCGGGAGGCUAACGGCACAGCGGUAGGGAGGCAAACGGCAAAGAGUAUGAUCCCUGCGCUGGCCCAACUCUGUGCUGGCCAUAGAAGCAGAUGACAAAGAGGGGGAGGGACGCAGACGACAAAGAGAGGGAGGGAGGCAUACGACAAAGAGAGGGAGGAAGGAAGAUGGCAACUAGAGGGAGGAAGGCAAACGACAAAGCCUCUGUUAGCCCUAACGGAGGCGUUGCCUGUCGGCUGCCCUCUAAGCAUGUUUGUCGUCUGCUCUAUGCCAGAGGCUGACGGCAAAGACCUUUGCCAUCCGCUUAAGGAAGACUGACGACAAAGAAGGUGAUAUGUCGUCGAAAGUCAUCGUAGGAACAUUGCCGACAGGAGGCUGACGACAAAGACCUUUGCCGUCGGUGGAUCACCUCUUUGCCGUCUGUUAUGGCAGACGGCAAUGAGUCCGAUUCCUCUAGUGAUUGGUGCUAAAAAUGUGGUAUUGACCAUUAUUUAGUUGUUGAGGAUUGCUGUGAAAUCCAUACUGAUUGCUAUUUUGUUGAUUUCCUUGGUCAGAACGCUACCUAUUACCAGUAUUCUCUUGGUGCUGAUAUUCUAAUCUAGAACCGCCUGGUUCGUUAAAUCCGGACCCUAAGAAACCUCAAGACGAGCCGCCUUGCGGGCCAGGUUGUUCAUACUGACCCGAAUGUCCACCAUUAUCCCCAAGGUGGCAUUGAAAGGCUUGAUUUCUAAACUCCUGCAUGAUAUAGAAAUUUUCCCAUGAAUGAUUAGAUGGCUUAUCCUGAGUGCUAUCCUUUAGUCAAGGCGCCUUGAGGGCCUCCUCAUAGUUAUGUGGCUUAUUCCCUUAUAAGGUCCUUCGGAACGGCGCUGGUGUUUAAAUUCAGUGUUGGUAUUGGCCACAAAUUCUGAACUGCCCUCAGACUACCUCCGUUUAUUGUUGUGGUUUCCCUGGUUUCCACUUUGUUGGUUACCUUUGGCACCUUCUCCUUUCUUGCACUUGUCGGUCUUGUCCUCGUCUGACCCAGGGUCUUUCGUGCCACCUGACUCGGCGUACCUUGUCAGAACGUCCAUCAAGUCGCCCAUGUAUUGAGUCUUUCGCUUCAAACGACCCAACUUAAGCACCAAUGGCUGGAAAUGACAAUUCUUCUCCAGGUUUAGAACGGCUUGUGAGGCUAUUAUACUAUCCGAUGAAUCAAUUAUUUCUGCAACCGACGAGUCCAAUGAUGGGCUCACUCGCCCGUCCGCUGAACGUAAUGCUGGAGAUCCACAAUUGUCAUCGGGCGCUUGCAUGUUCCUUAGAAUUUUUUUACGAAUCGUUCCUUCAACUCCGCCCAAGUGUUGAUGGAAUUAGGUGGAUGUUUUUUAAGCCAAGUUAGGGCUGGCCCUUCUAACAUCAUCAUCACAUACUUUGCCCAUACCUCAUCACUGACGUCGAGCAUGUCCAUGGCUAGCUCGUAACUUCCAAUCCAUACCACCACCUCAAGAUCUGAUGUAUAGUUUGGCACAUUGCGCGGUCCUUUCAAGUCUUUGGGCAUGGGCUCGCUACGAAGAGCCAGAGAUAAGCAUGGAACACCGAUUGUCCUGGUGCUACUUCUGGCUCCAUGUGUUGCUUAUUGUGGUUCCGCUACAUGCGGUUGAGCCGCCCGCCUCAUGGCCGCUUCUGCCUCCACCUGACGGGCGGCUCUUGCCGCGUCCACCAAGUCUUAGGAAUUCUGAAAUCCUGGACCAGUCGGGGAAACCCAAAGCUGUUGUCGCCACACGUUACUGGAAACAGCCGAUGACUCCCCAUGGCGGAUGAUAUAAGGUGUGGAGUGCAUUCGAUCUCGACUGUAUGAGUACUGCACCUGUUGGGCCACUGCCAUCUUCAGCAUCUCAGUCGCGUUCCUAGCUUCAAUUUCCACCGGGGUGUUUCCAUGUAUAGGGAGCGACUCCAAGUGACGCAUUGCAGCCAACAUAUGGUCAACGGGGUUGGAAAAUAACCCUGUGGUGUGUAAAAAUGAUGUGGCCAUGCCUGAGCUGGUUGUGCCUUAGCCAGUUGUGCCUAAGCUGGUUGUGCCUCAUCUGGCUAUCCCUGAUCAUGCGGCGGGUUCCGUGCAGCGUGAGGACUGUGGGGACUAGCAAAUAGGAGCGUCGGUGUUACGUCUAGUGGUAACCAAGAUUGAUGUCUCCUCAAGUGAAUCGCCUCUUUUGUCUGUUAUCGAAGUCCAAGCUGCCACGCCUCUACCCGUAAAUGCUCCAACUCAUCACCGACUCGAUCCUGUGUCUCUGCAAACCGUAUGUUUUCAGUGUCGAUCUCUUUCUGAACCUUGAUCAUCUUUGUGCAGAGUUUUGCUAGUUCUGCAUUACGUUCUUCUCAGUUCUCGUUGAUUAUUGUAUCCUCCAAGAGAUUAGUCAUCUCGGCAUUCAGGUCACUCAUGGCUUGAGACAACGUUUUACUCGACCCACCAGCCUCAUUGGUGGCUCCUGCUGUAGCUGGAUCUGAUGAAGGCGCGACUCAAGCCAUGUAAAUAGUGACUUGCCAAGGUGGGUCAUCUGGCUCCGUCGUAGCUUCUUCCUCCAGAGCUUCCCCAAGCUCGUUACUAAGGGGAAAGAUGGAUCCGGUGUAUCUCAUGGAGGACUCGCCAUCAUGGUUGUCAUUGUCGAGGAUGUCCUCAACGUUUGCCGGUUCAUCCGCAAGGCUGAGCCCCUAGGUCAAUCCGACAAACAUGUGACGACUAUGUGUUUGGAAAUGACCGUGUCGGUCGCGCCGAGUCAGCUCGUUGACGGUGGUGUAUAUGUCCGACCCGAGCAUCCUUGCGCAGAUCUGACCGAAGGGGAUCUGCGAAUUAGUUUCUCCUAAGCCGACCUUAAAGCCCUAACCUAUGUUGUUGAUGUAGCGAUUGUUGCGAUGAUUCUUGAUCAUCUUGGCCACCGCGCGACUCCCAAAUCCCGGAAGAGUUCCCUCUGAGUACUCAACUCCACCUUGUGAUUGCCCCAUGGUGGGCGCCAACUGUCGUGGUUUUUUCGCGGCAGAUGUCCUCAUGAAUGGACUUAGUGGUGAGACCAUUGUCGUGAUGUGGGGACUCGAAGGGGUUGAUUGGGAAACAAAAGGCGGAUUUACCCAGCUUCAACCCCUCCGAUGGAGGUAAAAGCCUACGUCCUGCUUUGUGUUUGUAUUGAUGGCAAUCUCGAUUACAAGGGUGCGGAAUCGCUAACCUAGCUCUCGAGGGUUUCUAACUUGAUAUCUCUGGCUUGAGGGUCCUCCUUUAUAUAUAGGUAGAGGCCCCAAGUCUACAGUGAAGUCUCAGUCAAAUAAACAGUCGGGUGCUACUACAAAUCUACCUUAUCUUUCUUCCUAAGUGAGGAAAGCUUCUAGUGUCUCUUGCCAUGUUCAUCUUUGAGUCGCCGCCUUCUGGUGAUGGGCCACUUGGGGGCUUUGUCGACUAAGUCCGCCGGCCCAUAUUCUCAUCUUUUCCUUGCGGCUUGACCCGCCCUCAUAAGGCGGAUUAAAUCCUGGGGUUAUAUCCCCGACACUCGGGAAGAAAACUGGUCGGCGCAUACCGAGUUCAGAUCCGGAGCCCCCGUGAGGCUAACCUCGUGUGUUAGAAAAGGUAUUGACUGGGGAUCGGCCUUGGAGGUGAAUGCGCUAUAGAAGCACAUCACACAGAUGGGGGAGGCGAAUAUCAAGCUGACCAACGUGGUUCAGGUCAUGCUCCGCCGUUGCAUCCUUCCCUGCGAGCGUCGGGACACUCCAAUGUGGUCCUACAAGCUUGGUGACCCCAAGACCGUGCACCAGUUCUACCACACUACCCAUGAGAAAUUGUGGAGGGUGUUGUUCAAACCUCAACAGGAAUGGCCGGUCGAGGAAGAAGACGCCGGCUUUGAUGCCGAUCACCCUCCCUUGGAGGAAUAACUGAGCUUUUAUCUUAUUUAAAGCUUUAAUAUUUAGCAAGGAGCUUAUCCUUUCCACCAUCAUCCCUGUAGGGCUGGUUGAACAAGGCCGUGAAAAUAAACAACCCAGCCACCUACCUGAGGACCCCAGGUCGCCAUUGUUGAUCGUGAUGCUGGUGGUGGCGCCAUACACGACACUAGAGAAAAAAGAGAAAAAGAAAAGGGAGGCCCGCGGGGGUCUCCGCUCGAGGGGUCCUCCGGAUACCAAGUUCGGAGACACCCAUGCUUCCUCCACCUACGAGAAAGAGGAUGCACAUGACGGAGAGGAGAAAGAUUCCCUCCGAACAAGAAAGAGGACGGCGCUGGAGGAGGCCAAGGAGGGCUUGCCUCCUCAGGCCCGGAAGAGGCCCUACAGGAGCAAGGUCAUCCAUUCCGACGAUAUCUCAAAUUCUGAUGGGGACUCCGGGGCCUUUGAGAGGGUUCCCCGAAGGAACCCCAGGAUCAAGCCCUGUCGAAAGGUAUGGAAUCCAAACUUUAUUUAUUGGAAUUAUACUGAGCAUUUGUUAAUAAACAUACGUGCUCCUUUCCUUGACGCAGCCCUACCUGAAACCUCUUGACGAACCAGGUCUAAAAGGGGGGUUCACCACCGGCCAAGCUAGCGGAGAGCGGGAAUGUGUCCCGUACUACUCUCCCUUGGGCAUCGGACGAGGUUGCGGAGGUGAUAUCCCACCAGGCCCCUCCGAACAUGGGGGACGAGGUGGUGAUGGCCGAGGUUCAUACGUCGGCCACCGAAGAUCGAGAGGUCCCAGACAAAGUUCAUGCCUCGGUCACCGAAACCCAAGAGGUUGGCCCCCUCCUGACGAGUGGGGAGGGGGGCCGUGAUUCUUCUCAGCUUCCUCCGGAGGUAGCUCCAGGGACCUCUGAUCCUCUGAUGUCUUCAACGUUGCUUCUGAUGCCGCCUACGACAGAAGGGCUACGACCGAGUGGCCUGCAAUGAUGGAGGAGGCUUUAUCCAGCUCAUCCAUUGCCGAUGAACAUCGCACCCUUAUGGGUGCAAUCCUACAAAGCAUUCAGUCCGUUGACUGUGGACUGAAGGGAGCCUUCAGCGGUUUGCUGGCAGGCUUCAAGGUAAACCAUGUAGUGUUAGAUUUAUUUAUAAGGUUCUACAUGCCUUAUAGGUAUGACAGCCCCCAAGCCAUGGGUGAGUUGAAACACUUACCCAUGGAUGAAAAGAACUUAUAGACAUGAAUAAAAAUAGUUCGGGGACCCUUGAACUAUAAUAACUCAGGGAGGGGGGGUACUUUGACCAAAUGUCCUAGUCCCGUUAGCUCGGAUGCUUGUCAAUCCAGAACUUGUCUCGCAGGCCUCGUCCUUGGUUGUGGCCACCAACACCCUUGAACUUUCCGAACUAGACCGAAAACUCAAGGUUUCCGAUGAAGAACUCAGCCGUCUUAAUAGUAGGCUCGACGAGAAGCAGGGUAAGCUUGAUGUGUGCCAGUAAGACUCUUGUUGUACUUAACAAUUUAGUACUGUCUGGCUUUGGUAUAUGACAUAUUUAUUCCGAUUAUGUUAGCAUCUAUGGACGUGGAGUUAGAGAAACUCAAGGCCGAAUUGGAAAAGGCCAAGCAGGAGGCUGUCGCGCAUAAGAUGGUGGCCGAGCAGACAACUGCUGAACUAAGCUCGUUGAAGGUUGAGAGCAGCGGGCACAAGACUAGAGUGGCCGAGGUCUAUCAGGAGCUUCAAGAUGCGAGCGCUAAGAGCGAGGCCUUGGAACAAAAAUCCAAAGAACAAGCGGCCGAGCUAUCGGAGUUGUCCUCCGAGCUCAAUCAGAGCGGUUAGAGAGGCGCUUUUUCAAAGAAGAAGUGCGCCAAGCCAAGAAUAUUGCAGAUGGUAAGCCAUACUUACUGCAAUGUGCCUUUGGUGGAAACAUGUUUGCCUUUCUUACAUGGCUAUGGCGUUCCCCAGUCGGCUUUACGGACCUCCUGUGGAGUGCAGCACACACGGCCAAGCGCUAUGCGGCCCAAGAAGGGGACACCGAGCAGAGGCUUUUCUGGGCACAGUUUCAGACUCCCGAGCCCAAGCCCCUUCUCGUCUACUAGAUGAAAUAGCUCAUGGAGUUGCACAGGAUGGCAGAGCUGGCCAUGAAGGACCUCUGCAUCCGGUUGUGGCCUGCCAAGCCUCUUCCAAGCAGUUACUUCAGCUUAGUGCGGAAGUUGUACAACGACGUGCGUCAAAUCGAGGCCCUGAAGCGCUCUGUUUGCAUAGAGGGAGCUCGGAUGGCUUUUGCGAGGACCAUGAUGCACAGGCCAGGGGAGAAUCCCCUUACGAUGGCAACCGCACCUCCGCCUCUUGGAAAGGAGCACAGGCGUCCAAAGCUUUAUUUCUCUACCGCAGCGGAGGGUGCUCGGGCCAUAGAACUUUGGAUUUUUGUUCGAAGGCCUCGCUCUUGGUGCUCGCAUCUUGAAGCUCGGGUAAUUUUUGAGUGAGGAUAUCGUUGUCUGCCUUGGAACAAUUUAUUAUUAUGAAGCUUGUCCCACUGUAAUGCACUUUGUAUUAUUUUGACUGUUGUGUGGCCGUUUAAUCUCAAAGUUUCCAGUCGUCGGCUUCAUCCCCCAUGUAAAGACUACAAGGGGUGUUUCGACAUCUGCACUGUGACCCUUAGCCGAUAUAUCGGUGCCGGAGGCGGUAGUGUGUGAAGGAAAUGAGGGAAUCGGACUAUGCGACUUUAGUGCUUUCACUUAGCCUUAGGAGCUUGAAUUCGAGGGCUGACUACGAGUCUCCAUUUUUUUGUGGUAGUGGGAUGAACCAGAUUUUGAGACAUUUACCACAAGGUUUGCAAAGAAACAAACACCUCUAUAUGACACGGAAUAAAACCUCCAUCGGUCUUUCGUACUUAAGCUCGGAUUGCAGACCAGUUCUCGCUUAUUAUGACAGUCAGUUUUCGGCUUUCUCCACUGAGGUAUUUUAGCCAGGCUAGUUGGGAAUACAAUCGCAGUGGUUCUCCCUUUACCCCUUUAGCUGAACCAGUAGAACAUAAGGGGGUAAGAACAGGAGCGGGGCAACCCAAUUAUCGACCCAAGACAUGAUUCUGAACCGAUGCAUAUAAAGCAAUAUCAUAGAAACCGAACACUUAAAAAGUAGUGAUGGGGUAGUGCUCGGGGAAGUACUUUCAUCCAAGCCCCUGUCUAUUAGCCCAUCGCACUUGAUAUUUAUUGAACAAUUUUACCCAUCGACGCCAAUGAGCAGGAAACAUAUAUAUGUAAAGAUACUGUAAAAGAGUAUAUAAAUAGUAUUUGCUAGGAAUUUUUAUAAUUUGUGGCACCAAGGUAGUUGUUAUAGGUAACUAUUGUUUUGAACAACAUAUUUCAAAGCAACUUUCUUCCACACGACCUUCCAAGGGUGACUUGACGUUCGCCCUGCUUCUAGCUGCACAAUUUCUCCUAUGCUUUCUAUAAGGGAGGGGUAGUAUCCUUUAAUGGUGGUUGUUUUCUACAAACGGACCUUGAAUAGAUGGUCUUGAAAAGCUGUCGUGGUAUGGGUGAGCUUGAUGCUUGGGAGAUCCUUAAUGGUAUCUCAUUUUUUGUCCGUGAAUACGUUUGGACGUAGUUUGGUCGAACCGAACAUAUGGUCCUUGGUAGUGGAUCCCCACAGCUGCCCAUGGUAUUUUGAGAAUGAAAUUGUGUCUACGAGGGACAUACCUUAUGGGUGACCGGGCCAUGCCAUGGGGAGCGUAUCCCUAUUUUCUUUGAGACAGAGAUAUCUCCGGGGGAUCCGAUUGAGCUCGGGCUCGCUUGCUCGCCUACCACGCCUUGAUGGCUAGCUUGUGUCGUGCUGCUUCUUUUUUGUAUUAGCAUUCAGCUGCCAAGGUCGCUGUGUGCUCCUCGGUACGGAGGGAGCGUUCUGUGUUGUCGUUGAUGGUGAUAACUCCCCUGGGUCCGGCCAUUUUGAGCUUUAGGUAGGCGUAAUGGGGAAGAGCGUUGAAGCGGGCGAACACCGUGCGGCGGAGUAGUGGGUGAUACCUGCUGUAGAAGGUGACGAUGUUGAAGAUUAAGUCUUCGAUGCGGAAGUUGUAGGUCAGCCGAACACAACCUCCAGCAUUACCGUGUCGGAGCAGCGGGAUCACUCCUUUGAAGGUAGUGUUGCUGGGUUUGAUUCUUGAUGGGUCUAUGCCCAUCUUAUUUGUCGUAUCUGAGUAAAUCAGGUUAAGGCUACUUCCUUCGUCCUUAAGGACUCUAGUGUGGUGGUACCCAUAUAUGAUGAGGUCUACAACAAGGGCGGCCAGCCCUCCAUGACUGAUACUGGUCGGAUGAUCCCUACGGUCGAAGGUGAUCGGGAAAGCCGACCAUGGGUUGCACAUCGGGGUUAUGGGCUCUAUGGCAUAUACCUCCCAAAGGGCUUGCUUCGUCUCCUUCUUUGGUAUGUGAGUAAUGUAUAUCAUAUUCACGGUUUUCACCUCUAGGGGAACUGUUUUUGGCCCGAGUUGUUCGGAACGCGGGCUCUUCAUCAUCCUCGUUUCGUGGGCCCUUGCCUUGUUCGUCGGUUGCUACUUUGCCAACCUAUUUAAACACUCAACAGUUACGAUUUGUGUGGGUGGCGGUCUUGUCUUGGGUGCCAUGGAUCUAGAGAGGCCUUUACAUAAUACUAUCUAAUGUAGUCAGUCCAUUCCUGUUCCAUUUAAAUGGUUUCUUUCGCUGUCCGGGUUUUGAGCUGCGGAAGCCAGCAUUUAGGGUUGUGUCAACGGCGUCACCUUUACGGUGGCGGAGUUUGGUCUUGUUUUUCCUUGGCUUGCCAUUUCCAUCCUGAACUUUAGAGGUACCGGGGUCGUCCGCAUUAUGGUCGCGCCGAGCUAGAAAAUUGUCCUUGCCCGCGCAAAAGCGGAACAUGAGGGAAGUGAGAGCGGACAUUUUAUCGGCCUAUCCUCGCCGACCUGGCGAGCCAACCAUUCGUCCUGGGUAUUGUGCGUGAAGGAGGUUGUCGCAUUGUCAUCCGGACAAUCCACGAUCUAGUUCUUCUUUGUUAGGAACCUAUUCGAGAAUCCUAUGGCCGAUUCGCCCGCGUUUUGGAUGGCGUUGCUUAGGUUGGAGGAAUCCGGUGGUCGAACGUAAGUUCCCUGAAAAUUAGACAGGAAGGCUUCUUCAAGGUCUUACCAACAUCCGAUGGAAUUUUCAGGUAAGCUAUUUAGCCACUACCGUACUGGCCCUUUCAGCUUUAGGCGUAGUUACUUGAUGGCGUGGAGGUCAUCUCCCCUGGCCAUAUGAAUGUGGAGAAGGAAAUCUUCUAUUCACACGGCGGGGUCCGUAGUCCCGUCGUAUUGUUGUAUGUUCAUGGGUUCAAACCCUUCCGGGAAUUGGUGUUGCAUGACCUCAUUUGUAAAGCACAAUGGGUGGGCGACGCCUCUGACCCAGGCUAUACUGUGCCAGCGAUCGGCUGUUGGUUUUGCUCGGUACGAUUCUCGAUCUCUAUUGAUGUGGGUAAACCAAGGUUGGUCUCCGUCCCAUCGAGUGGGAGAGUACCUUCUAGAUCCAUACAUGGACCUAUUGCGACCUGUUCUGUUGUCCAAGUCGUGACGUAGGUCAUGUCUACCCCUGGGUUGCACAUGAUCCUUUCCCUUCCUGCUGGGAGGCUCGGGUCCAUACUCGGCUUCUCCGGCCGCUCUGUCACGCCCUCGAGGUUGGCAAUCGGGCUGAUCAUACUGGGUGCGCCUGGGGGACACGGGCUCUCGGGCCUCGUCAUCGAACUGAGGCAGCACGCGUCGGCGUGGGUACCUUUUGUUCUGAUCUAGCCACUCGGUGCCAUAUCCUUCUUUAUUUGCCAAUACUUUUGUCCAUCUAUUGUUUAUGGUGUCAUGUUUGGCUUGGAGCCGCUGUUGCUUCGCUUGGAGGCUGCGGGCGAUAGCUACGAGUUGUUGCUUGAACCGUUCCUGACCCUCAAGGUCCUCGAGAACUAUGAAGUCUUCGGCCUUUAUACUAUCUUUCGCGUCAUCACGAGGGAGGUAGUUGUCAUCAUCUGAAUCAUCGGGGUCGUCGGGAUCGGAUUGGCCCUCGGGCUUGUUCGGGAGCUCCGAGGUUGUCGGGGGUCCUCUGGGGUUGUAUUUUCCCCGGUGCCAUCUAUGGCCCCACUUACUUUGUUUGCCUUGGCUUGUUUACGCUACCUCUGGCGCUUUGAUUGCUUUUCCCUAGACUUAUCGUCAUUUUGUUUGGGGGUAUGAUCGCCAUUGUCGUCGGGUGUGUCCACCAUGUAGACGUCGUAAGUGGAGGUGGCAGCCCACCGCCCGGUAUUUACAGGGGCGGGGUCACCGGCCACAUCAUCCAUGUCUUCAACCUCCUCGAAGGCGUAAUCCAACAUGUCGGUUAAGACUUCGACGGUGGCAACCAAGUGGGUGGUGGGUGGGCUGUGAACUUCCUCAUAAUCCGCAUCCAAACUGAUCCGACUAUAGGUCGGGCUCGGGCCAUCCAUAGUUUUCAAUGACUGGAUCUGGUCAAGCGUCUCAUUUAACAUCGAGAGGUUGUCCUGGUCGAUUUCUUGAUGAUUUUAGGAGUUGACCUCCGUUUCUUCCGUGAGGGACGGGUAUUCAGGAAUGGCUGUUGCCUGGGUACUGAGAUUGGGUCCGGGCUCAAAGACAACUCUCUGACAAAGAGGGAACCGAGGUCAUGGCCGGGCAAGAGACCCGAAGUCAAGGCUUCAGGAUUUUGGGGUUCAUCGCACGAAGCCAUGAUCUUAGCAGGGAAAAGAUCUCCCGAGGAGUCGCUCAAGAAUUCAAGAUUCUCGAACCUUAUCUCCUGACUGGGGACGAAGCCUCCGAUCUAGCCAAGGCGGCCGAUCGGGUCGGCGCGCAGCGUGACGCUGCCGAACGCGAGAACCUGCCUUGGAACAAAGAUGUCCCUGUUUCCAAUUCGAUCGCUGAUGAUUACACGAGCCAUCAAUCCUUCCGGUGAACUAACAGGAGAACUCUCAAUGAAAGCACCAUUGUCGGUGUCAAAACUGGCGGAUCUCGGGUAGGGGCUCCUGAGAUGUGAACCUUGUAUGGAUGGGUUACACGGCACAAAGAGGACAAUGUUUACCCAGGUUCGGGCCCUCUUGAGGAGGUAAAACUCUAUGUCCUCCAUGAUUAUAUUGAUAUGUAUGAGGAUUAAAGAGUUGACCUACCUUGAGAUCGUAUGAGCUAAAACCCUAGAUGAGUCAACUUGUCUAUGAGGAUGAAACCCACUUGUUUAUAUAGACACCACGGGUUCCUCGGGUUAUAUACAACCGACCUCCAGCCGGGGAUAGAUGCGUCGAUCUGGAGUACUCAACUUGGAUGACACACCAGUCUUCGGAGCUUUCCUUCUUGAACACGAGGUCGUCACGUAGUCCGGUCUUCAACAAUAAGGCCCAUUAGGUCGGCCUCUAAUAAAUGAAUCGACCGCCCGAGGACUCCUUAGUCCCGGACUCCCCCAGUGGUGCCUAGUGGGGAGCCCUUAAGUCGGAUGAGGAUCUUCUUCGGGCACAAGAAAGCUAAUUUACGGAUAAAUUCCCUCAAAAUUCCAGCACGAUCGGAGUUAAGGAUCUCCAAGAAUUUAAGAAACAGUGAAGGGCAAGAAAACGAGAACGCCAAACAGAACAGAACAGAGAGGGAGAUCCAAUAUCAGAGGGGCUCUUGCCCCUCUGCAGCCAUGGAGGCCAUGGACCAGAGGGAGAACUCUCCUCCCAUCUAGGGGGGGCAAGGAAGAGGAGGGAGGGGGCUCUCAACCCCUCUCUUACGGUGGCACCGGAGUGCCACCGGGGCAAGGAGUGUGACGAUGAUCUACAUCAGCAAGCUUGCCGCCGUCAACACCAACUCCCCCCUCUAUGCAGCGGUGUAAGACCUCUUUUCCCGAUGUAACUCUCUAUUUAAACAUGGUGCUCAACACUACAUACUAUUUGCCAAUGAUACGUGGCUAUUCUAUAAUGUUUGAAUAGAUCCGUUUUGUCCUGCGGGUUAAUUGUGAUAUGAUUUUAUUGUGUUUAUAUGAUGUUGUCCUAAGGUGCCUUCUGUGAGGCGCACACGCGAAGGAUACAUGCUGGAGGGUUUGCAUUAUGUUCAUGAUUCGCUUAUAGUGGGUGGCGAGAGUGACAGAAACUUACAACCGAGUAAGGGAGUUGUCCGCACAUGGGAGUAAAGAGGACUUGAUGUUUAAUGCUAUGGUUGGGUUUACCUUAACGAUUUCUAGUAGUUGUGGAUGCUUGCUAGAGGUCUAAUCAUAAGUGCAUAUGAUCCAAGUACGGAAAGUGUGUUAGCAUAUGCCUCUCCCUCAUUGCACAUGAUAAGUAUCUAUCAUGUUAGAGGUCCAAUCAUAGUUUCAUACUUGUUCUAGGUAAAGUAAGUGUUUGCACGCAUAGAGUUGUAUCGAUGGUCGAUACAACUUGAGAGAAUAUUAGUUCUACCUUUAGCUCCUUGUUGGGUUCGACACUCUUGCUUAUCAAAAAGGGCUACAAACGAUUCCCUACACUUGUGGGUUAUCAGUGAGUAUCCUGGCGACACGAAGGCGAGCACAUGACUGGUGGCGACCUCGAUGAUCGCUCGGGUCAGAGAUGCCUGUGGCAUGGUCUCAUGUCCGUCCUCGUCAAGGACAAUGAUGUCGUUCCCCGGAGGUGGAAUUUCUUCAACAUGUGCGAUGGGGUCAAUGUGCAACAUUUCUACUUACGAACUGGCAUGCAUCCAGUCGGUCACCACCGGCACGAGAGGCAUGAAGUACAGCGCAGCUGGCUCAAGGGCCUGCACCGACAGUUGCAUGAAGGGUUGCAUAACCGGCUCUAGGGCCUGCAAUGGCAUGCUCUCAACACUAAUUUGGUGGUGGUAACAAUGACCUCGGUGACGCUGGUUCCAACCUCCAUCGAAGAGGCGAAGGUCGCACACUCGAUACUAGAAGCGGCGGAGUCUGCCAACACCAUGGCGGAGGUGGUGAGCAACGAAACGGCGGCAACGGUCAUCAUUAUGAAGAAGGCGAAGAAACGGAGAAAUCAUCUUUCGCCUCUAGUUCAUGUCGAUCUUGUUCUCUGCCGGGAAGAUUUUUCUCUAUUGAAAAGUGAUGUGUGUGAUAAUGUGCUAAAAGAAACAAAGAGCAAACUAGAGACAAAUAAAAAGAAUGAACAUAUGUAAUAUUUAUUGAUCAUGUUCAUGUAUACAUGCAAUCGGCACGAAAGCAUCCAAGAGAUGCGUCCAUUGGUGAAGGCGUCAAUCGAAAGGAGCAACCGACGCACAAUUGCAAAAAAUGGCAACCACACACAUGUUGCGGGAAUGUAGGGAUUCCUCUAACUAACCAUUGAGGUUAAUUUGGCUUAACACUCUGAAUUGCAUCACGUUUCUACCAUUAUUGUGCCGAAGUGCUAGGAUUUUGUCGUGGUUGUUCUCACAGUGAGGGUGCUCCUACUUGGCAAGGUACUAAGACUUGUUUCUUUUGCCUACAUGACAAGUCUAUUAAACACCUAUGUUAACUUUGAUGGUAGGUUUAAUCAUGCAACAUAGGCCAUAAAUCAAAUAGAUUCAAAACCUUACACCUCCCCCAUGUAGUGUGUGUAAUAUGUUCGACAACUCGCGACGGGGUGCCGACAAACAUUUUUCUGCAUGUAUUCUUGUGGGACUGCCAACAUUUAUGUUGGACUUUUGUUUCAUCAUGGAUGUCCAUGUAAUCUUCAGAUAAGAUCUAACCCAUCUUCCCAUGCAAGUAUCUCGGCCUUUCACUAUCCAUAAGGAAGCUCACGACGGCACAAUAUCAAGGCCUUGUGGAUCAUCUCGUAGCGCGCCUACCAUCUUGGAAGUCAGCAGGCCUUCCCAAGAGCGAUCACUUAUUGCUGGUACAAUCCGUUCUCUCGACAAUCCUGAUCCACUCAAUGUUGGCCCUUGAUCUGGCUCUAAAGACUUUGGUUGCCCUAAUCAAGAUAUGCCGCAAAUUCCUUUGGGUCGGCAAGGCAGAUGCGCGAGGAGGUGCAUGUGCGAUGGCCUGGGAGAGAGUGUGCACUCCUAGGUGCGUCAGACGCCUAGGUAUCCUUGACAUGUGAUGGAUGAAUGUGGCCCUUCGGGCCAAGUGGUUGUGGUUGAGUAGGUCUGACCAGGAUAAGCCUUGGUCGGAGUUCGCUUUCUCUGUGCCAAAGGAGUCCCGACAGUUAUUCCUGGCAGCGGUGCGAGGAGUCGUUGGCGAUGGGAGGAAUACAUUAUUCUGGGAGGGUAGAUGGCUUAGUGGUUACCGGAUGCAGGAGCUUGCGCCACGGAUUUGCGAGCAGAUUCCAGUAAGAACGAGGAGGUCAAGAACGGUGUAUGAGGCAAUCGUUGAGGAGAGAUAGGCCCGAGAUAUUGGGCCAGCGCUAGGCGAGGCAACCCUUGCGAAGUACCUGGGUAUCUGGCCCGGGGUUGCGGUGGUCUAGCUGGACGAGCAAUGUGAUGAUCGUUUCAUCUGGUUCUGUGAGAAGAACAAGAAGUUUUCGGCCAAAUCUGCCUAUGCAGCCAAGUUUGCAGGGCGAGAAGUCUCGCCCAUCUUGGAAUUCACAUGGCACUCACGGACCUCGCUUAGGUACAUAUUAAUUCUUCUCAUGGCUAGCAAUCAUGAACUGGUGCUGGACUUCAGAUAGAUUGGCACGAAGAGGCAGCCACACCAACACUCGUGCCCUUUUUGCAAUCAGCAUGAUGAGACGAUUGGCCAUCUACUUAUCGAGUGUCCUCUCCCACGGGAGGUAUGGGCAAAGUUCUUCUCCGCCCAAGGUAUUCUGCAUGGCGAGCCGCAACUAGGAGAGACACUGCACGGCUGAUACACUAGGCAGGGUAUGCAGGGAAAAAGUGCCAAGAUGGUUUGGACCAUAUGCCCCCUUGCCAUGUGGGAAAUAUGGAAGCAUAGAAAUGCCAUAGUCUUUGACGGAGAGAUGGCCUGCCCACGACAUGUUCUACGCUGGACCGCGAGUUAUAGCAUGGUGUGGAUGCAGACGGCUCUACUUCGAGGAAACCUGCAGGCAUUCUUCGUGGCAGCGCUGGAAUGGGCGCAUAGUGAGUAGUGUGUAUAACAUACUUGAGGUGGAGGGCGGCGUAACGCCAUGUAACCCCUGAUGUAACUAAACUGCGGAGGGCUCCCCCCUCUCCUUCCUUCUAUAAUAUAUGAUACGCACACUCGUGCGUAUUCGAUGAAAAAAGAAUCUAACCCAUCUUAGGCUGAUUUUUUUUUCUGCGAAACAAUAUUUUCUUUUGGUUAUGUUAAUAGUCUUAACUGUGUGCAUCAUCACGUUUUGCAGCAGUCAGACAUUUGUUCAAUGUGAUUGUAUCACCUUGAUAUAUCGAUUGAAUGAAAUUGUCUUUUAUUAGUAAAAAAUAGUUGUAUUGAAGUCAUCAUAACUUAAUCCCAUGGGGUAGAUGGUUAAAUGUUUUCACUUAACAAAAUAAUUUCUAGUGUGCCCAUAACUAGUGUAAUAGAUGGACAGAAAUAAAUAGACUGGAAAUGCCAUGAACAAGCCAUGAAUAGAAAAGGUUGGGUUUAUCUACAUCAGUUAUCAGUUUAGUGUGUUCUAUGUACUUGACAAUCCAAGAAUUAGCAAUAGAGCCCUCUGUAUUAAGAGUAUAUUUCAGUCAGUCCUCAACUGCUGUCCAUGUUAUUUACUAGUUCCGGUAGUGAUCUUAAGCAUCGUCUAUAAACUAUUACUUAGUCUAGACGUCCCUAUAGAGACCUAUCGGACAUCAAAGAAAAUCCAUUUUAAAGGAUACGCGGAUAGACUCGGUAAACCGCCGACAAUGAAGUGGCACCAACAAAUAUUUUAGUUUUAUAAAUCUGAAAGGAAUGUAUCUUUUCGAUAAAGGUCUGAAAAAGAAAAUAGGUACCUAUACUCAUCCAUGCAUAGGCAAGAAGUUUUCUUUAUGUGAAGCAUAUCUCUGAAAGGGCUUAUAAUAAUUUUGCUUGUGCACCUCAUACAACUCUACCUAAUAUAUACAUAUUCUCAAAUUUGUAAGAUAUCACUGACUUCUCUCAACCAUUGAAUAGGUCAUCAUUUUUCUUAACUUGCACGCAAUGUCCACGAAUUGAGUAAGCAUAUGCAUAACUAAGAGUCUACGCUGUUUCAUGGAGCCUAUCACAAACGACUGAAUGUUUAGUGGAAAAAUCUCUUGGGUGGAAUCCUAAACCCCUUGAAAAAUAUACUGAAAAAUAUAAUGGCAAUCACCAUGGGGCGUCGGCAGAUCACAGUCAUUAUAAUAACCGCUUGUACACCCAAAUACAACUCUACCUGGUAUAUGCAUAUUCUCAAAUUCGUAAUAUAUCACUGACUUCCCCACCGUCGAAUAGGUCACCAUUUUUCUUAACGUGCACACAAUGUCCAUGAAUUGAGUAAGUGUAUGGGUAACUAAGAGACCGCACUGUUACACAUAGCUUAAUCACAAACGGCUAAAUAUUUAUUGGGAAAAUCUCUUGGGUGGAACCCUAAACCCCUUGAAAAUCUAUUAUAUAAUUAAAACAAAAGACAAACAAGCCAUAUGUGUUCCCAUACAUUGAAUUAUCUUGACCGUAUUUUUAAAUAAUAACACAUGUGAUUUAAAAUAUGUAUUGUUACAUAUAAAUUUUAUCAUGAGCAAACAGUUUAUAGUGUCACGUAGCUCAUACUAAUAGUUCAAUAUGUCUCGAGUUCUUAAAGAAAAACUGGCAUGUCACUAGAAAUCAGUCUGAUACCUUAGGAUCUUUUUUUGCGGGUAAAACUGGGAAGCUUUAUUCAACACACAUCAUCCGGGCAUGAUCUUCGAGGAGACUAGUUAGAAGAAUAAUAGGACUAGAGUUCAACCAGCAAUCCGUUACCUCCAAUGUGCUAGCUUGCUUAGAACAUAAGUGGGCACACGUGCUAGCUGAUUUUGCAACAUUUUGAAUGAAAUACAAACUAAACAGUAAGGCGAGCUCUCCAUCUUAGUUAAGAUAUGCGUCAGCACAGUCCGAGUAUUGAGGCACGAAUACCAGAGAUUGACAAUCUUCAAACAAUCUGUCGCCACAACGACCUUCUCGUGACCCCGAAGCUUUGAAAAGAGGACCCCGUCUCGAACAGCCAAAGCUUCAGCGACAAACGGAUCGCUAAAACCAGGGUACGGUUUAGACCAAGCAGGCAUGAAGGAGGAACAGGCUCGGACAACACCACCCACCCCACCCACCCCUGCUAGCCUCCAUAGCGUGCUUCCAUCUGUAUUGAUCUUCAUGAUUCCUUAGGUUGAUAUAGAAAAUAAGAAGUACCUUACCUUGAAUUGGCAAAGCAUGACAACCAAGAGUAUUCGGCAGCCAAGUCCAAUUUAGAAAGAAAGAGAAAAAACUACCUUAUGUAGGGAGGAGCACCAAGUGAACUACCUUAUGUAGGGAUGAGUCAUGAGCAAACACCCCUACCCCACAACAAAGAAGUGUCCGCAUCUCAAAAAAUUAGGAGUGUCCCAGCAAAAUAUGCGUGCUAAUCUCUCUAGGGAAAAAGAGAAGACGUGUGUGCUCCUCCUUUUUCUGCGGACACAAAAAAAAAAGUACGGAGUCCUGCUUAGUUCACUUAGUGCUCCAGUACUUGGGGAUAAGAAAUCUUUCUCUACGCAGAUUGAAGAAUAUAUCUCAUAAAAAAUGAAAAUUAGUUGUUUAUACAUAUACUAAAUCGUGGAUGAAAAAAUGAGGCGACAUACCUGAUUGGCAUAAUACAUUUUUUUAUGCUAAAUUAGUUCUGCACUAUGAUAUUAGCUGUAUUAAAUCAUGGAUGGACAACUGAGACACGAAAUACGAAAUACAUAAAGAUAAAAGUGCCAGCAUUUUAUAUUCUUUCUCUCAAAAAGUUACUGAUAACCAUAGUGGCUGUUCUAAUUUGAAUCGCUGAGAUCCAAAAAUAAAUAGAAAGAAAUCAUGCUUGCAAGUGAUUCAGUAUAAAUUAAGUAUUCCUCAUGAAAAAAUAAUACGUCAUGAGAAAGACCACGUGAGAGCAUCUGCAGUGAAAUGCAUAAGAAAAAUAAUGCACGUGAAAGCAUCUGUAGUGAACCUAUUUACAAAAAUUGACCACUAACAUAUGCAAAAGUAUCCGGGUUGGACAAUUAAAAAUAACAAAGAACGUUGUACUGACUACAUAAUAAUAAUUAUUCACUAGUGGGGACAGGGUCUAUAGUCCCGGCCCGUAAGGGGCUUUAGUCCCGGUUCACCAACCGGGACCAAAGAGGCGGAACUAAAGGCCUAACCUUUAGUCCCGGCCCUGUUCCAAGCCGGGACCAAAGGUGCUCCAUGUGGGCGCCUCGGAGCGCCCUCACGGGCAGGCCCUUUAGUCCCGGGUCUUAACACGGACCGGGACUAAAGAGUUUCUUCAGAUUUUGUUUGUUUUAGGGUUUUAGGGUUUUAGGGUUUAGGUGUUCGGGAGAUUAACGUGAUGCCUCGUUUGGCAUUCGGGAAUUAGUUUUCAUAUAAUUCUAAAUAUACAUGUUUAUGUAUAUAUAUAAGAUUAACUUAUCUUACAAGCGAGCAUAUAUAUACAAUUAUAUGGAGAUCUGAAUUAUCGGGACUAGAGCCCGUUUAUUUAAUUCCAUGGACCAACAUCAGUAAUGGCCCCUAGCUACACUAAAUCAUCCUUUGUCAUCUAUAGCUUCCGUCCUCAGAAAGGUCGCAAGCUCCUCUACAACAGCAAUCGCGCGUUGCUCUGGUAGGUACUUCUCCCUCAUGGCCGUGUACUAUAUAAGAAGAGGAGAUGAAUAUGAAUAUCAAUAAUGAUAACAAAGAAUGGCGGGUAAAAAUAGAGGUGUGAAUGUUCAUUGCUUACGUCGUAUCUAUAAUCCUUGUGCUCAGAGGUAAACGUGCGAAUGGUCUCGCAAACAUAGUAUCCGCAUAGAUGCGUCCCCCGUGGCUGCUGGUCGCACUUUACGAGAAUAGAAUAUAAAUAAUCAAAAUAAUAAUCUAGCAUCAUAAAUGUAUUGAAAAUAGAAGUAUAUCAUACUACUACUUACCUGAGGCGCUCUAAAGGUCAGCUUCUCAUGCUCGAUACCGGGAGUCACACACUUGAACCGCUUCCAAACCCUGUCCGACAAGGAAAAUGAUUUGCUAAGUUUUUCAUUAAUUGAUAUAUCAUAAAAUCAUCGAAAGAGACCGAUAGAGCGCAAGAAUGAUUGAAAUUACCCUUGGAGCAUUUCCUGCAGGCUUUGGAACUGUUCGAAGGGUCUCGAUAAUGGGUCGAAGGCAUCAACUCUUCCCUUAUCAAUUUGAAUGUCCAACAGAAUCCAAUGGUAGCUACACAUGUAUAUAUAUAUACAUGUGUAGCUACCAUUGGAUUCUGUUGGACAUUCAAAUUGAUAAGGGAAGAGUUGAUGCCUUCGACCCAUUAUCGAGACCCUUCGAACAGUUCCAAAGCCUGCAGGAAAUGCUCCAAGGGUAAUUUCAAUCAUUCUUGCGCUCUAUCGGUCUCUUUCGAUGAUUUUAUGAUAUAUCAAUUAAUGAAAAACUUAGCAAAUCAUUUUCCUUGUCGGACAGGGUUUGGAAGCGGUUCAAGUGUGUGACUCCCGGUAUCGAGCAUGAGAAGCUGANNNNNNNNNNNNNNNNNNNNNNNNNNNNNNNNNNNNNNNNNNNNNNNNNNNNNNNNNNNNNNNNNNNNNNNNNNNNNNNNNNNNNNNNNNNNNNNNNNNNNNNNNNNNNNNNNNNNNNNNNNNNNNNNNNNNNNNNNNNNNNNNNNNNNNNNNNNNNNNNNNNNNNNNNNNNNNNNNNNNNNNNNNNNNNNNNNNNNNNNNNNNNNNNNNNNNNNNNNNNNNNNNNNNNNNNNNNNNNNNNNNNNNNNNNNNNNNNNNNNNNNNNNNNNNNNNNNNNNNNNNNNNNNNNNNNNNNNNNNNNNNNNNNNNNNNNNNNNNNNNNNNNNNNNNNNNNNNNNNNNNNNNNNNNNNNNNNNNNNNNNNNNNNNNNNNNNNNNNNNNNNNNNNNNNNNNNNNNNNNNNNNNNNNNNNNNNNNNNNNNNNNNNNNNNNNNNNNNNNNNNNNNNNNNNNNNNNNNNNNNNNNNNNNNNNNNNNNNNNNNNNNNNNNNNNNNNNNNNNNNNNNNNNNNNNNNNNNNNNNNNNNNNNNNNNNNNNNNNNNNNNNNNNNNNNNNNNNNNNNNNNNNNNNNNNNNNNNNNNNNNNNNNNNNNNNNNNNNNNNNNNNNNNNNNNNNNNNNNNNNNNNNNNNNNNNNNNNNNNNNNNNNNNNNNNNNNNNNNNNNNNNNNNNNNNNNNNNNNNNNNNNNNNNNNNNNNNNNNNNNNNNNNNNNNNNNNNNNNNNNNNNNNNNNNNNNNNNNNNNNNNNNNNNNNNNNNNNNNNNNNNNNNNNNNNNNNNNNNNNNNNNNNNNNNNNNNNNNNNNNNNNNNNNNNNNNNNNNNNNNNNNNNNNNNNNNNNNNNNNNNNNNNNNNNNNNNNNNNNNNNNNNNNNNNNNNNNNNNNNNNNNNNNNNNNNNNNNNNNNNNNNNNNNNNNNNNNNNNNNNNNNNNNNNNNNNNNNNNNNNNNNNNNNNNNNNNNNNNNNNNNNNNNNNNNNNNNNNNNNNNNNNNNNNNNNNNNNNNNNNNNNNNNNNNNNNNNNNNNNNNNNNNNNNNNNNNNNNNNNNNNNNNNNNNNNNNNNNNNNNNNNNNNNNNNNNNNNNNNNNNNNNNNNNNNNNNNNNNNNNNNNNNNNNNNNNNNNNNNNNNNNNNNNNNNNNNNNNNNNNNNNNNNNNNNNNNNNNNNNNNNNNNNNNNNNNNNNNNNNNNNNNNNNNNNNNNNNNNNNNNNNNNNNNNNNNNNNNNNNNNNNNNNNNNNNNNNNNNNNNNNNNNNNNNNNNNNNNNNNNNNNNNNNNNNNNNNNNNNNNNNNNNNNNNNNNNNNNNNNNNNNNNNNNNNNNNNNNNNNNNNNNNNNNNNNNNNNNNNNNNNNNNNNNNNNNNNNNNNNNNNNNNNNNNNNNNNNNNNNNNNNNNNNNNNNNNNNNNNNNNNNNNNNNNNNNNNNNNNNNNNNNNNNNNNNNNNNNNNNNNNNNNNNNNNNNNNNNNNNNNNNNNNNNNNNNNNNNNNNNNNNNNNNNNNNNNNNNNNNNNNNNNNNNNNNNNNNNNNNNNNNNNNNNNNNNNNNNNNNNNNNNNNNNNNNNNNNNNNNNNNNNNNNNNNNNNNNNNNNNNNNNNNNNNNNNNNNNNNNNNNNNNNNNNNNNNNNNNNNNNNNNNNNNNNNNNNNNNNNNNNNNNNNNNNNNNNNNNNNNNNNNNNNNNNNNNNNNNNNNNNNNNCUCAUGCUCGAUACCGGGAGUCACACACUUGAACCGCUUCCAAACCCUGUCCGACAAGGAAAAUGAUUUGCUAAGUUUUUCAUUAAUUGAUAUAUCAUAAAAUCAUCGAAAGAGACCGAUAGAGCGCAAGAAUGAUUGAAAUUACCCUUGGAGCAUUUCCUGCAGGCUUUGGAACUGUUCGAAGGGUCUCGAUAAUGGGUCGAAGGCAUCAACUCUUCCCUUAUCAAUUUGAAUGUCCAACAGAAUCCAAUGGUAGCUACACAUGUAUAUAUAUAUAUAUAUGUGUGUGUGUCAAUAACUUAUCAAUUACACUUAUAAGUGAAUGGACACAACAGAGUAAAGACCCUCACUUGAAGUUGUAUGGAAACAGUAUGUGGUCACAGAAAUUUUGACCUGUUAGAAACCUUAGAAGGUUUUCCUCCGUCUCCUUGGGUUUAUCAGUUAGCGUCGCUAUAUUUAUUUUAUCUAGGUCAAUAAACCCAAUAUUUAGGAUGUUCCUACUUUUACAUUCCAGAAUCUUCAUUCUGCAUAAUAGAGUACAAGUUAUAUGUAGACAAUAAAUUAAAAUAACUAAACAAGUUAUAUGUAGACAACGAAUUGAAAAACUUACACACAAUAGCAACUCAUAAGCGAUUUGUCGAGGGCGUCGGCAUUGUACAUCUCGAAGAGUUCAUCAAAGUCGAUAUGGAUUUCUUCGGGGCGGCCGUAGCACUCCCGUGGGACACGCGCCACGAUCAUCGUUCUCCCAUUCUUUGAUUCACUUAAGUACCAUGUAUGCAAGUAACGCAUAUUUGUUGGGAGAUCAUCAAACUUAUCUUUGCUAACCAAAGGCGCUCCCAUGACAAACUGUGGCAUAGGGGCCACCAUAGCCUUGGGUAACCUGUCGUCUUGGGAAGCCAGAACGUCUUCAACCGGGAUACCCCAUUCAUCCGCCCACUUCUUUGCUAAUUCCAAAUCUUUCCCCUGCACCAGAGAGGGAACAUUCUCGGGUAACACCCUCAGGGGUAGGAUCGACUAUUUGGCCUGUUGUCCAAGCUGAGGAACGUCUGAUCUUUUUUUGCUUGUAGUUGAACUUGAUUUGCUCCCACUUGCACUUGCACGUGAUCUGCUCUUUUUCCCUUCCUUCUGCAAUGUGCGUGUAUAGUCAUCAGGCUUAUGGUGUAAGUCAUACUGUGAUGGAAGGGUCGUGAAGUAUUUUGCAUAUGUUAUUUGCUUCUCGGUGUAUUCCGGGCGGGGCUCGGGUUCCUUCUUUUUCAUCUGCGCAUCAUAAUGUACCUUUGCUAUCCUGGCAUUUUCCUCGUCGGUAUGAUCAUAAGGUCUGAUAGGAAGAUUAGCAUGAGGUACCUUUGGGAGGGGCGACAGUUUGGGCUUUGGGGAGCUCCAUCGCUUAGAACUCAUCGACGGAGCGUUCUUGCUGGCACGCUUCCGCUUAGUAUCCUUAGCGGGCGGCGGCGGAGACGGACGACCCAAGUCCGGCGGCGGUGAUCGAGAUGGACUCGUGUUGUGCUGGCCAUCGUCAUGUGGAGGGCUUGGAGGUGAUGGAGGUGUAGGUGACCUGCGACGACUCGGAGGCGGUGUUGUCCUUGGGGCCGAGCCUGGAAGCUUGAUGUAGUUCUUGUCCCAUAGGAUGACCCCACCCAGUACUUCUCCGAGUGUCCUCUCAUCUUCGGGUCCAGCUAUGUCGAGCUCCAUAUCAUGAAACCCCGCCAUGAUUUCAUCCAUCCCGACUUUAGCAAAGCCAGCUGGAAUCUCACGGCCAUGCCAGCGUGCAUCAGGGCCAGAAGGUAAAGCUUGUCCGAUGGCCACCUUCAUGGAUAUGUUCUUGAAUUUCUGAUGGAGUUCACAUGAUGUUGACUCCUUGAUUCCAUCCACGGGGUAGCCGGGACCGCCCUCUAUCAUUCUUCGUGCAUCGUUGGGCGGGGCCUCAGAUUCAGCCACGCUGCUUUUCCACUUAGAUGGGGCGCCGGUAAUAUCGAGCGCAGGAUCUUCCUGGCGCGCUACUCCUCUAAGCUCAUCAAUCUGCUUCUAUUGCUUGUUAAGCCUGGCAAGCAACUGGUUAAACUUGUCAUUCUCCUCAUCCUGCUGUCGCUUCUUUGCUCUCGCUCGGCUUCUGUAAGUGUCUUGGUCUCUGGGAAACCCAAGCCACCACGGGUAAGAAGGACCGAAGCCUCGCGUUCGUCCUCCAUGUUCGUCAUUGUCGAGGACCACUGUGAGAAAAUCUUUCUCUCUAUCUGCAGUGAACUGUCUUUUUCCCUCCUUAAUUUUUUCACUAUCUUUUUCCAAUUCUCCCUGGGUAUCCUAAGACCGUCACUGCAGAUGAGGUCCCCUGUUUCUUCGUCGUAUGAACCACCAUGCGCAAGGAACCAAUUUCUUGCUCUCAAUUCCCACUCAUCACGGAUGGGUUCAGGUAUGAUGCCUUUAGCUAGCAGAUCUUUCUCUUUCUUAUCCCACUUUCGGAUGGCAGACUCAUAGCCCCCUGGCCCCAGCGUGUGGUGAUAUUUCUUCUUGUCGGCAUUUUUCUUGUUCUUUUUUGAUAAUGCCUUGGCAUCUUCUGACUCCUUGUACUCUUGAAAUGCCUUCCAGUGAUUCGCCUGCUUGGCUAGAUACCCCUCGAAUACUGGCACUUUCUUUGUCUUCCGAUAGUUUUUCAUAGCUUCUUCUUCCAGCUACAGAACAGUUCGACCAUCUUCUUUAGAGUCCACUGCUUGACUUUGGCCAUCAGUUUGUCUGCGGCGUCUUCAUUCUCACAUUCUGACAGGUUGAAAUGUGACAUGAGAUCAUUCCAAAGAUUAUCUUUGUACCUUUCGGUGACAUAGUCACUAUCGGCUGCCCCUUUGCGCUUGUUGCACUCCCGAACGCUGAUCGGGACGUGAUCCCUAACGAGAACUCCGCAUUGCUUCUUGAAUGUGUCAGCAGCAUUCUUAGGAAGCUUGGGUUCGCCCGUAGGCAAUAUCACCUCAAAGGUGUAAUGCAUCCGUGCAUCCAACUUUUUAGUCGGGCCUCGUUUCGUAGCUUUGCUCGAUGUGGAGGCUUAAGAGGGAGAAACAUUCGUCAAAUGAAUGUAUAUGUAUACAAUAUAGAGCUAUCUCCAAUAUUUUUCACAUAUUACAAGUGAUUGUCGAAGUUCAUAUGUAUACCUCGCCGGACUUUAUUAGUUCUCCACCGGCUUCUCCAUCAGUGGAGCUAUCACCUUCUCCAUCAUUGGAGCUAUCUCCUGCCCCAUCGGCUUCAUCUUCGUGUCCGUCGACUUCCAUUCCAUAUCCGGAGGGGUUUAGAUAUGACGACGGAGAUUCAGCUGGUUCAACGUCGGGGCCGUCUUUGAUUAUAUCUUCGAGAAGUUCUUCCUCUUCGAGGUUCCUAAUAUGUGGAUCCAUAGUUCUGCAAAAAACGAACAUUUGGUUAACUAAUAAACUAACAAACUAUAUAUGAUGCAAAAUAAUUCUAUUUCUAUUUGCAAAUAAAUUCUAACUAAAUAAUUCUAAGUAAAAUAAUUCUAUCUCUAUUUGCAAAUAAAUUCUAACUAAAUAAUUCUAACUAAAAUAAUUCUAUUUCUAUUUGCAAAUAAAUUCUAACUAAAUAAUUCAUGACUUCAUCAUUACCUAGUAGUAAUAGGAGCAUGAUGCUAUGAAGCUUUAUAAAGUUGUUUUGUAACGGAAUCCCGAAUAGGAUAAUUAGCUUUGUGGUACGCAGUUCAAAAAGAGCCAUCCGAAUAUCGCUAUUUGGAAGGACUUUGUUGAACUUUGUACCAAAAAAGAAUUAUUCUAUUAGGAACUCCGUUCCAAAACAACUUUCGAGAGGUUGAUAGCGCCAUGCGUCUGUUACUACCAGGUAAUGAUGAAGCCAUGGACCGACCCUAAACUAACUUACUUAAAUUUACAUAGCCCUAAACUAGCUAACACUAACCUAAUUAACACUAGUUUAUAUGUUUAAUUGAUGUUUGUAGUGAUUUAAGUGAUAUUUGUAGAUUGUAGAUUUGUAUAUGCUUAAACACUAACUGUGACCUAAACUAAAAGGCCCUAAACUAACUUACUAAAAUUUACAUAACCCUAAACUAACAAUAACCUAUUAAUUAACACUAACUACCUAACCCUAAUAACACAAAUUUAAAUGACACAAAAAUAACACAAAUAACCUAUUUAACACUAACCUACCUAACCCUAAAUUCACCAAAUAUUCUACAAAUAACACUUAAGCAUAUACAAUAGCAAAAUUAAGCAAUAAUCUAAAAAACACUAAUUAAGCAUCUAUAUAUGUACAAAAUUACAUAAGCAUGCAUGCAUGUUGACGAUCGAUCAAGAGAGGAGAGGAGAGAGGCUCACCAGCGGCAGGGGGUGUUGGAUCGAGGAGGAAGGGAGGGCGACGACGACGGCGAGGAGGACGGCAAGGCGACGACGAUGGCGAGGAGGACGGCAGGGCGCGACGACGAGGAGGACGGCAGGGCGACGGCGACGGCGACAACAAGGAGGACGGCAGGGCNNNNNNNNNNNNNNNNNNNNNNNNNNNNNNNNNNNNNNNNNNNNNNNNNNNNNNNNNNNNNNNNNNNNNNNNNNNNNNNNNNNNNGGUGUCGAGCAGUUCGUCCGAUGCUGCAGGCGAGCGAGAGGAGGAAGAAAGAUUGAAAUGGCGAUUUGGGUUGGAAAUUUCCAACUCCCGCUUAUAUAGGUGGAGCUUUAGUCCCGGGUCGGGGCUCGAACCGGGACUAAAGACACCCUUUUUGGCAGGCGAGGAGGCGGGAAACGAGGGGCUUUAGUCCCGGGUCGGGGCUCGAACCGGGACUAAAGGCUGUGUUUAGUCCCAGGUCUAGCCACGACCCGGGGCUAAAGACCCCUUUUCGGCAGGCGAGGAGGCGGGAAACGAGGGGCUUUAGUCCCGGGUCGUGGCUCCACCAGGGACUUAAGGUGGUCUUUAGUCCCGGUUCGAGCCCCGAACCGGGACUAAAGACCUGGGCUGGCUUCGGGGUGACGCAGGGCAACCUUUAGUCCCACCUCACCUAGCGAGGGGCGCUGGCAGUGCUUUAUAAGCACUCUCGCACUUUGCUCAAUUGAGCUUCUCUCUAUUGAAGGCAUGUGGGCCUAACUCUCAUCUCGCUGUCUGUUGGUCCUAUUGGCCCCCGGACCUUCAUCCUGGCCCACCUGUCGGGUAGGGUUUCUAGUCGUAUGCAGGUCGUGAUGACCCAAUAGGCGGCAUUUGUUUUUUUACUUUAAUAAUUUUUAGUCCUAGUUUAUAUUUUAAUUCUUUGCUAUUCAAUAUUUUUUUCUCUUCUAUUUUAGUUUUCUAUUGAGUUGAUUUGUUUUUGUUUCUUUUAGUUAAUGUUUUACUUGAUUCUUUCUAACAAAUAAGCACUUUGAAAAUUUUAGUAAAUUAUUCUUAAUUCAUUCAUUUUAGUUAAUGUUUUAGUUGAUUCUUUUUAGUUGACUCUUUUUUUGUUUUCUAUUAAAUAUUUUAACAAAAAAACUUUAUGAAAUUUCUGACUUCAUUUGAUAUUUUUUGUGCAUUUACUUAUUCUUUUGAGCUAGUUGACCCUGAAAUGGAAAAACACUACAAAUGAACUCUAAAAAUGUUGAAAGUUGGCAUGGUAUCAUCAUUUCACCCACAUAGCAUGUGCUAAAAGGUUGAGAGGGUUACGGCAAAAAUUGGAUACACUUCGUGUGCAAAACGGACAAUAUCUCUCGAAGUAUCAUGGUUUCGAACAAGAACUCAUCUAUUACAAAGUGAUUUCAUUUUUUUGAACUUAUUUGAACUCCAUACUUUUUGUGUGUUCAAAAUGCACCAUUCAAACGCACAUCACAAACUUUCAACAAUUUCUGACUUCAUUUGGUAUUUUUCGUGCAUUUACUUUUUUUUAGCUAGUUGACCCUGAAAUUGAAAAACACUACAAAUGAACUCUGUGUUGAAAGUUGGCAUGGUAUCAUCAUUUCAUGCACAUUCCAUGUGCUAAGAAGUUGAGAGGGUUACGACAAAAACUGGAUACACUUCGUGUACAAAACGGACAAUCUCUCUUGAUGUAUCAGCAUCUCGAACGUGAACUCAUCUGUUACAAAGGGAUUUCAUUUUUUUGAACUUACUUGAACUCCAUACUUUUUGUGUGUUCAAAAUGCACCAUUCAAAGGCACAUCACAAAAUUUCAACAAUUUCUAACUUCAUUUGGUAUUUUUCAUGCAUUUACUUAUUUUUUUGAGCUAGUUGACCAUAAAAUUGAAAAGCACUACAAAUGAACUCUAAAAAUGUGGAAAGUUGGAAUGGUAUCAUAAUUUCACCCACAUAGCAUGUGCUAAAAAGUGGAGAGGGUUACGAUAAAAACUGGAUGCACUUCGUGUACAAAACAGACAAUCUCUCUCGAAGUAUGAGGGUUUCGAACGAGAACUCAUCUAUUACAAAGGGAUUUCAUUUUUUGAACUUAUUUGAACUCCAUACUUAUUGUGUGUUUAAAAUGCACCAUUCAAAGGCACAUCAAAAAAUUUCAACAAUUUCUGACUUAAUUUGGUAUUUUUCGUGCACUUACUUUUGUUUUUUUGGGCUAGUUGACCCUAAAAUUGAAAAGCACUACAAAUGAACUCUGAAAAUGUUGAAAAUUGGCAUGCUGUCAUCAUUUCACCCACAUAGCAUGUGUUAAAAAGUUGAGAGGGCUACGACAAAAACUGGAUGCAUUUCGUGUACAAAACGGACAAUCUCUCUUGAAGUAUCAGGGUUUCGAACGAGAACUCAUCUCUUACAAAGGGAUUUCAUUUUUUUGAACUUAUUUAAACUCCAUACUUUUUGUGUGUUCAAAAUGCACCACUCAAAGGCACAUCACAAAUUUUCAAUAAUUUCUUACUUCAUUUGGUAUUUUUCGUGCAUUUACUUAUUUUUGUUGAGCUAGUUGACCCUGAAAUUCAAAAGCACUACGAAUGAACUCUCAAAAUGUUGAAACCUGGCAUGGAAUCAUCAUACUGCUCAGGCGGGGACCUUCAUACUACUCAGGCAUUCAAAAAAGAUUUCCUUCUCUGCUUUGGUAAGAGCAUAGCUGCUUAAGUAUUGACGCACUUUAUCAGUCUUCUUGUCGUAUGGGUCUUUCAUACGUUGGUGCUCCUCCCGUGCUUCUGUUGUAUCUUUUGUCUUUCUAUACACUCCCAGGAAGCCUAGCAGGUUCACGCAAAGAUUCUUCUUCACGUGCAUCACGUCGAUUGAAGACCGGACCUCUAGUUGUUUCCAAUAGGGUAGCUCCCAAAAUAAAGAUUUCUUUUUCCACAUGGGCACGUGUCCGGUAAUGUCGUCUUUCGGAACUGAUUGACCGCGAGGACCCUUUCCAAAGAUUACUAUUUGAUCCAAAUCCUUGACCAUAGCCAAUAACUCAUCACAAGUAGGGAGGUUAGGCUUCUUCCGGUGAUCUGCCUCACCGUUGAAAUGCUUGCCUUUCUUUCUUACGGUAUGACUGGUCGGAAGAAAUUGACGACACACCAGGUAGACAACCUUCUUAGAUUUUCCCAAAUAUGUACCUUUACUCUUAUCUAAACAGUGCGUGCAUGCAUUGUAUCCCUUGUUUGAUUGUCCUAAAAUGUUACUAAGAGCAGGCCAAUCAUUGAUGGUUACGAACAACAAUGCUCAUAGGUCAAAUUCCUGUUCUUUGUGCUCAUCCCACACACGUACACCUGGUGGGCCCACAACUGCAAAAGUUCAUCAACUAAUGGCCUUAGGUACACAUCAAUGUCGUCGCAGGGUUGCUUCGGUCCUUUAGUCCCGGUCUGUGGUACGUGCCGGGACUAAAGGCCUAUUUUCUGUUUUCUUAUUUUAUUUGUUUUUGCAUAUUUGAGAAUAUAAAUAGUAAUCUGUUUGCAUAUUUGAGAAUUUGACAAAACUAUGAAAAUGAAAAGUGUUUGAAAUUGAAUAAAUAAUUCAAAACUAUUUUCUAUUUUCAAAAUUAAUUAUUUUGACUAUCCAAACUAUUAACUAUUUUGUAAUUUUCAAUUAAAUACUAUGUUUAUUAAAAUUCUUUUUGCAUAUUUGAGAAUUUGACAAAACUAUGAUAAUAAAAAGUGUUUGAAAUUGAAUAAAUAAUUCAAAACUAAAAGGUUUAGUACAUUCCAUACAUGCAUUACAUAAAAGGUUUAAUACAUUAUUACAUUAUUGCACCAAUAUUCCUACAUAUUAUUUCUGUUUUCUUCUCGGUUAACCAUGGAGAAUCUUCAUCAUUCAGUGGGAUGCUUGGGUCAGUUUUCACUUUGAAGGGCGGAAUUUCAUGAAACUUAUUAUAAUCUACUGACAUGUCUGUCUUGUCAUCUACUCCCACGAUGUUUCUUUUCCCUCAAAGAACUAUGUCGCAUUUUGGCUCAUCGGACGAUAUCUUCUUUUGCUGAUUUCUUUUUAUCGUUUUUGUAGACAUGUCCUUCACAUAGAAAACCUGAGCGACAUCAUUGGCUAGGACAAAUGGUUCGUCCAUGUACGCAAGAUUGUUGAGAUCCACUGUUGUCAUGCCGUACUUUUGGUCUACAACUACCCCGCCUCCUGUCAGCUUCACGCAUUUGCACCGAAACAAAGGGAUCUUAAAAGUAGGUCCAUAGUCAAGUUUCCAUAUCUCCUCUAUGUACCCGUAAUAUGUUUCCAAACAGUGCCAAUUCUCGUCUGUUGCAUCAAAGCGGACACACUAUUUUGGUUGGUGCUCUUUUUAUCUUGGGCAACCGUGUAAAAUGUAUUCCCAUUUAUCUCAUACCCUUGGAAAGUACAUAUAGUCGAAGAUGGUGACCUGGCCAAACAGUACAGUUGAUCUCCAACGGUGUCGUCAUUUAUGAGAUGUAUCUGCAACCAACUUCCGAAAGUCUUCUCGUGUUCCCCUUUAAUCCAAGAGUCAGCCUUCCCCGGGUUUUUAGAGCGUAGAAUAUUCUUGUGUCUCACGAUAUACGGAGCCACCACGGUGGAAUUGUGUAGAACUGUGUAGUGUUCUUGAGAGAAAGAAUGCCCGUCCAUACAUACUUUUGCUUUCCUUCCUAGUGUGCCUUUUCCUGUCAGCCUACCCUCAUACCGAGAUUCAGGAACACCAAUCGGCUUAAGGUCAGGAAGAAAGUCCACACAAAACUCAAUGACCUCCUCUGUUCCAUAGCCCUUGGAGAUGCUUCCUUCUGGCCUAGCACGGUUACGAACAUAUUUCUUUAAGACUCCCAUGAACCUCUCGAAGGGGAACAUAUUGUGUAGAAACACAGGACCGAGAAUUCUAAUCUCUUCGACUAGGUGAACUAGGAGGUGUGUCAUCAUAUUGAAGAAGGAUGGCGGGAACAACAACUCAAAGCUGACCAGACAUUGGACCACAUCAAUCUGUAACCCUGAUAGACUUUCUCGAUCGAUUACCUUAUGAGAAAUUGCAUUGAGGAAUGCACAUACCUUCACAAUUGCCAGGCGAACAUUUUCCGGUAGAAUUCCCCUCAAUGCAAUCGGAAGAAAUUGCGUCAUAAGCACGUGGCAGUCAUGAGACUUUAGGUUUUGAAAGUUUUUGUCUUUCAUAUUUACGAUUCCCUUUAUAUUCGACGAGAAGCCAGUCGGGACCUUGAUGCUGAAAAGGACUUCAAAGAAGAUUUCCUUCUCUUCCUUAGUAAGAGCGUAGCUGGCACGCCCUUGAAACUGCCCUGGAUGCAUGCCAUCUCUUCCUUUAUGACGUUCCUGGUCCUCCCGUGCUUCCGGUGUAUCGUCUUUUGACUUCCCAUACAAGCCCAGGAAGCCUAGAAUAUUCACACAGAGAUUCUACGUCAGGUGCAUCACGUCGAUUGCCGAGCGGACCUCAUGGACUUUCCAGUAGGGUAGCUCCCAAAAUAUAGAUUUCUUCUUCCACGUGGGUACGCGCUUAUCAGGGCCGUUAGGAACAGGUUGGCUGCCAGGACCCUUUCCAAAGAUUACUUUUAAAUCUUUGACCAUAUCAAAUACUUCAGCACUAGUACGGAUGACAGGCUUCCCCCGGGGUUCUGCCUUGCCAUUGAAAUGCUUGCCUUUUUUCUUUAAGGGAUGCUUGGGCGGAAGAAAACGACGAUUUUACGGGUACACAUUCUUCCUACAUUUGUCCAGAUAUAUACUUUCUGUCUGAUCCAAACAGUGCGUGCAUGCAUUGUAUCCCUUGUUUGAGUGUCCUGAAAUGUUACUAAGAGCAGGCCAAUCAUUGAUGGUUACGAAAAGCAACGCUCGAAGGUCAAAUUCCUCUUGUUUGUGCUCGUCCCACACACGUACACCUGGUUCGGCCCACAGCUGUAAAAGUUCAUCAACUAAUGGCCUUAGGUACACAUCAAUAUCGUUGUCGGGUUGCUUUGGACCUUGGAUAAGCACUGGCAUCAUAAUGAACUUCCGCUUCAUGCACAACCAAGGAGGAAGGUUGUAGAUACAUAGAGUAACGGGCCAGGUGCUGUGACUGCAACUCUGCUCCCCAAAAGGAUUCAUGGCAUCUGUACUCACACCAAACCAUAAGUUCCUUUCGUCACCUGCAAAUCUCAGGAACUCUCUCUCGAUUUUUCUCCACUGCCGACCAUCAGCGGGAUACCUCAACUUAUCGUCUUUCAUACGAUCUUCCAUGUGCCAUCGCAACAACUUCGCAUGAUCUUUAUUUCUGAACAGACGUUUCAACCGUGGUAUUAUAGGAGCAUACCACAUCACCUUGGCAGGAACCCUCUUCCUGGGUGGCUCACCCUCAAUAUCACCAGGGUCAUCUUUUCUGAUCUUAUACCGCAAUGCAGUGCAUACCGGGCAUUUAUCCAUAUUCUCGUACUUCUCACCGCGGUAGAGGAUGCAGUCAUUAGGGCAUGCAUGUAUCUUCUGCACGUCUAAUCCUAGAGGGCAGACAAGCUUCUUUGCUUCGUACGUGCUGGCGGGCAAUUCGUUCUUUCUUGGAAGCAUCUUCUUCAUCAGUACCAGCAAAUUUUCGAAUCACGAGAGUCAGUCACACCGGUCUCUGCCUUCCACUUCAGCAAUUCCAGUGUGCUACCCAGCUUCUUCUGGCCAUCUUCACAAGUUGGGUAAAACAAUUUGUUGUGGUCCUGUAACAUCUGCUCGAACUGCAACCUCUCCUUUUCUGUGUCGCAACCUCGCCGUGCAUCAGAAAUGACCCGGCCAAGAUCAUCAGCGGGCUCAUCUGGUUCCCGUCUUCAUCCUGAUCUUCUUCUUCAUUGUCUUCCAUUGCGGUAUCAGCAUACUCAGGGAACAUAGAUCGGUAGUUGUCAUCAUCGUUCUCUUCUUCUUCAUCAUCGUCUUCCAUCAUAACGCCUCUUUCUCCGUGAUUGGUCCAAACAUUAUAGCCCGACAUAAAACCGGACCGAAGCAGGUGGCUCUGAAUGACUCUUGAGGAAGUGUAAUCCUUCUCAUUCCGACAUUCAACACAUGGACAAAACAUAUAGCCACCACCAUGCUUGUUCGCAUCGGCUGCAUCUCGAAAAGAAUGCAUGCCUUCUCUGUAAGCGGUUGUGCGUCGAUCACCGUACAUCCAUGGAUGGCUCAUCUGCGUUAUACGACAGUAUAUCAAAUACAAUCACGAUCCUAAAAAUUAGUACCGCACGGUCUAAACGAGGAAAUAUAGUUGCUAACCUUUUAGAAUAAGUAGAAAUAAAGAGGAAGAGGUUUAAGCGUGGCUCGGGCAUCUCAUAUCGUAGUUGUGUUCGGUGAACUGAAGCGGCAUCGCUCUAACACACAUUUCAACAAACACCUCUAGUGCAUCCAAGAAAAAUGGAGAGCUAGCACACACCCACACUCUUCCAUCCAAGAAAAAUGCAAGAAAGAGGGGAGAGGGGGGUUGUGGCCAAUAUAUAUAGGCAGAGGACUUUAGUCCCGGUUUGAGACACAAACCGGGACUAAAGGUGACGCACAUGCGGGCUGCACACCGCGUAGCCCUUUAGUCUCGGUUUAUGUCUCGAACCGGGACUAAAGGCUCCUUACGGGCCGGGACCAAAGCCUUGUGGGCGGCAUUGCGAUUUUGGGGCGACGUGGCCGGGCCUUUAGUCCCGGCCCAGAUGGAGGCCGGGACUAAAGGGUCCAGGCCAAAGGCCCGUUUUCCACUAGUGAUUAUUCACAUAUGACAUUGUACUAUUUUUUUUAUUUGUUAUAAUGGAAAUCUUAGCUGAAAUUUUGAAUUAGAAAAUGCAAAGAAUCAAGUGUACCAUAUAUCUUCGAAAAUAUGUAACACUGUGUACAAAUAAGAAGGACACGUGCAACCAUCAUGAAAUAGUCGACCAACCCUUUGACAACCUUUGAAUAAACGAAUCAUGUAUGCUCGAUGAGUUCAAUUUGCAGCUGCAAUUGUGUGGAAGGGGACUAAUGGAAUGACAAUUGAAAAUUUGAGUAAAAUUAUAUUACUAUAUAGAAAUGAGGGAGGCCAGAGAGUGAAAAAUACAACCAUCAGGUAUAAGUUGCACAACUCUAGAGUAGUGUGACUAAAUGAAUCAUGUAUGCCCGAUGAGUUUGAUUUGUAUAGUAGUAAUUGUAUCGAAGUAGACCAAUGGAAUGACAAGCAAAAAAAAAAAUUGAAUCUGGUUUCAUUUCUGGGAAGAAAUGAGGAUGGCGAGAGAAAAAAUAGUGAGUAAAAAUAUCAAAUUAACUACGGAAAUAUGUUAGAGACAUCUGUGUAUAUUCACAUGUGUACAUGCAAAAUGCGGGAAAAAAAUACGAACUCAGUUGCCAAAAUUUGGUUUAUAUUCGAUGCAUCGUACCGUAUAAAAAAAUCAUUUGAUAUCUUAGAUGUAUUGACACGUAUGGAUUCAUUUGUAUAAAAGAAGAGUUGUGUGAGUAUAAAAGAAUCGAACUAAGGUACUCAUGAAUUGGCGAUCAUGAGCAUAGUUUUGGGACACCCAUAAAUGACAAUGAAACGAUAGAUAAUGAAGACUUUAAUAGAUUACACAUGUACUAAGAUUAGGUGCAAAAACAGGAGAAUAGUAGAAUCAAUCUGGAUGUGGUGUGCAACUCACAUAACAUAUUAAAUAUUAUAUUUGGUGGGAGUAAAGAUCUGACACAAAUGAAAAUCAUUUCAGGGGUGCAAUAAGUUGUCUCAGUUAUGCUUAAAGAUAUAAGUAUCAGAAAAACAUUUGUGCGUAUUUGUAUUGUAAACUAUAUAGGGGCAAGUGAAAUGAGAUAUUCUAGAAAAUUUCAGCGAAUGUUUCCAAGGGGGGGGGGGGGGGGGGAGCCAUGAGUAUGUGAAUCAUAAUUGCGUGAUUGUACAUCUAGUCCCCACCGUAGGGACUUAGGAUGUGUCUCAUUGAUAACUAAAUUUUCACAAGCAAGCAAGCAAAAUAGUAAUGUAACAUAUAUUGAGAAUCACAUAAAGAAAGCAAUAAUGAGACGUAAUUGGAGAUAAUGUUUUAAGGUUGUAAACACCACAUAUCCCGAGAAUGUAGUAUGAAUUAUUUGUAUCAUGCAUAAAAAGGUGAUAAGUAAUUUAUUUCAGGCAGACUGAAUUUGGAGUUCUCAAUUGUAUUUCUAAUUUAGAAUAUCCUCAUGAUUCAGUAUACUACAAUUAUGCAUUAUUUUAUACUCCCUCCGUUUCUAAAUAUAAGUCUUUUAAGAUAUUUCACUAGAAGUCUACAUACGGAGCAAAAUGAGUUAAUCUACAUUGUAAAGUAUGUCUAUAUGCAUCCGUAUGUAGUUCACUAAAGAAACCUCUUUAAAGUCUUAUAUUUAGGAACGGAGGGAGUACAAAUUUAUCGAUAAUGCUGAAUAUUUGAAUUAUCAACCAAUAUUUAUAUUAAUAGAAAACUCUAGCCGUGCAAAUGUGUGGGUAACUCCGUUAGUUAUACUAAUAAAAUAUGAUGCCAAUCACCAUGGGGCGUCGGCAGAUCGCAAUCCUUUACUCUGUCUAAUUUUAAAACUAAAUAGUAUAUGCAGUGGUUGAUGCCGGAAUGAAUCAAAUGAUGCGGAUAAUAGGUAAAUCCUCUGUUUUUAAAUAUAAGACCCUUUUACAGCUUAAUUUAGAAACAGAGGCAGUGCCAUUUUUGCCAUAAAGCGAAAGUUUGCACAAUAUUUUAAGUGUAUGGCGAUCAAGUGAACUGUCUAAUGGCCAAUGGGUACGAUGAUAAUGACUUGUGUGUACCUUGUCCCAAUCCACCUUUGUUAGGUGGCACAUAGUGGUCAUAAUUAUCUUCUUCCGUCCAAAAUAUGCAGCUGGUCAGUCAAGUGUUUACGUAAGGUUCCUUCAAUUAAGCUGUAGCACCUAGCAGGGAAACUAUACGUUUAUGAAAUUAUCUCCCAAGAAAAUUUACGAAUAAAAUUUUCGAGUAUCUAAUCUGAGGUUUCGUAAGUUUAUAAUAUUCAAGUAAAAAUUGAUUUACCCCUACAAGGGGAGAAAUCCUCACUUUUUUCCUUUUCAAUAUUAGGCAGUAGUAGGCAGAGAUGGUGAAUAUAAAGGUGGUGCAGGAUUUAGGUGUACGUGUUCAAAAAAUUCUUCUGAUCUCACUACUAGUAUUUCUCGACCAAGAAAUGUCGGUCAAGACAGGCUCACGUGGCAUGUUAAUUACUUAGUGGAGCAGAUAUGUAUUACAUUUUUAAAGAAGGAAACUUAAGAAGUUGGGCCAUCAAUUAAGUUCUAGCAGCCAGAUUGGUUGAUAGUACUUGACUUGUUCUAUUUGCUCACAUGCAAGUUCAUGCACAUCACCACACUGUUGCUUGCACCAGCUCUAUCAAUCUGCGGCUAUUUAAGCACACCCAUACAUGCCUCCAUUGACAAAGCAACUCACAAUGGCUUCUUCUUCCACAUUGUUUUGCCUUUCUGCCCUCCUUGUGCUGGCCUCAAGGCAGGCCACUGCCUACGAUCCUAGCCCUCUUCAAGAUUUCUGCAUCGCCGACAUGAAGGCGCCUGGUAUGCACUACGUAUAGUGUGCACGUAUAGAUGUGUGCCCUUAAUUCUAGUGGUGGUAUAGUUAAUGUUGUGAUAGCGUAGUACUGAUCACACAUUGAAGGUUACUACAUACUGAUAAUAGUUUUUUUUGUGUGGGGUACAUACUGAUAAUAGUUACAAAAGUAGUAUCACUACAUGCUCAAGCCACCCACACAUUUCUUACUUGCUUUAUGUUACUUUCUCUAUGCAUGCAGUGCGGGUCAAUGGAUUUGCUUGCAAGGACCCAAUGGCCGCAACCCCGGAAGACUUCUUCAACGCAGCCAUGCUCGAUCAGCCUAGGGAUACCAAGGCCAGCAAGGUCAGGUCCAACGUCACCAACAUCAAUGUCAUCAAUUUCCCUGGCCUCAACACCCUCGGCAUCUCCCUGGCACGCAUCGACUAUGGGCCAUUAGGUGUCAACACGCCGCACAUACACCCCCGUGCCACCGAGCUCCUCACGGUGCUUGAGGGGACACUCUACCUUGGAUUUGUCACAUCCAACCCAAACAGGCUCUUCUCCAAGAUAGUUAAGAAGGGUGAU
This 72663-nucleotide long non-coding RNA is filed under the name Hordeum vulgare. RNAcentral's name for it is "long non-coding RNA (HVUL_LNC019994)". The record is from RNAcentral. Lineage: Eukaryota; Viridiplantae; Streptophyta; Magnoliopsida; Poales; Poaceae.